UUUUUUUUUUUUUGGUUGGAUUGAAUGAGUGGGUCUGAUUGAAAUUGGUUGAAAAUACCUGAACGAGGUUAUAUAGGAAUUUAAGCAAGAUUAGAAGUAAUUUAGACUGGUUUCACGUAAAAAAAAAUCAUACCUAAAAAUCCAACUGCGACAUGUAUAUAUCACGUUGUAUAUCGUGUACAUCAGUGUAUAUCAUAUACGGGUUUUUAAGGAUGUAUGUGUAUAUCACUUUGUAUAUCGUGUAUACAACAUAAUUAUUUUAUGGACGCCCGUGUAUAUCACAUUGUAUAUCGUAUAUAUAACAUAAAUUUUCUUGGAUAUACACAGAUACACAUGACAUACAUGAGAUAUCGCUGAUAUACAUAGAGAUAUACACGGGGUGCAAUAGGGAAUACACAUGUGGAGUCGUCUUGAACUUGAGUUUUCAAUCUAAAAUGUGUUAUACAAAGAAGUAAAAUAAAAUUUUAAUAUACUUUUUUCAUAUACACAUUAUUAUUAUGUUAUACACUGUGAUAUACAAAUAAUUUAAUUAUUAUUGUAUUAUAUAUAUUUGGAUAUACAGAUAAAAAAAGGUUGAAAAAUAAUUAUAAAAUAUUUGAGAGUUUUUUCGGAUACUACUAAAGGAAAUGGAACCUAAUUUUUGGGAUGAUGGUUGCUAUGAGAGAAGAGAGAGAGGGUUUUAAAUAUUUUUCGCUAUUUUUAAGAAAAAUAAUUUUGAUGGGGCUUAUUUUUAAGAUGGUGGUUUAACCAUUAGAAGAGAGAAUAACUUUAGGCUACCAUAUGCCAAAUCCUAAAACGUUUGCUUUUUUAUGUCAAUUAUUGGACCUAGUUGUCAUGCCAUGCCAAAUCCCCCUUUUUCUUCUUUCAUCUUUUACGUACCUUGGUUAUAUGGAAAAUAUUGUGAUUAGGAAAAAUUACAUAGUAUAGCCGCUCCCAAAAACAAUAGCCGGCAAAGUAUAUAUAUUUUGUAUAUUAACGUAUGAUAUAUCUGUAAUAUACAUAUUUUAUACCGCUUAAAACUUACUUGGAAGGGAUCCAUGGAUGACAAGGAAAGGUUAUUUCGUAAGCUUCUGUUGCACUUAGGGGAAAUGCAUGUUUAAGUUUAAACUCAUUGGCCGAGCCUACGUCAUAAUUUAUGACAGUAAAAGCUACAUCAUAAUUUGUUAGACCGCUAUUUUUUCAAAAUAUAUGGUAGAUGAAACGUUAUCCCGUUCCAUGUACAUCUAUUCAAGUUUCCAACACAGUCUUGUCAAUUAUCAAUAUAUAAUCAUAUUAUUGCAAUAUCUAUGUUUAGCACAAGCUAAUCUUAAUAAAAAUGUAAUAUAUAGUUCUAUAUAUUCCUCUUCAUUUCUAUUAAUAGGUUUUAGUGCAUCGAUCAAAUUAAUGAAAUAGGCCACACAUUUAUACUUUGAAGAGUAAAUUGUUGGGCAAAAUCCAAUGCCUUGUAGAUAUGUUAUGUAGAACAUAGCAUUGAAUGUGUGAAAAGUAUAAUGUGUUAAUUUAAUGUGUAACAUGAAGUGUAAUUGAAGAAAAAAAANNNNNNNNNNNNNNNNNAAAAAAAACAGACAAUCAAACAUUUGCAGAAUGCAUUUGAAGUUUUCUGCUAAAGUAGUUUGACAUUUAAUGUAAAAAAGCAAAUACUAGACUUAUGAAAACUAAAAGAAUUAGGUAUGCUCUACCAUACUCAUUUAUGAGCAACAUAUAUACAAAGCAGUGAGUUUAAUUCCAAAGCAAAAUAGUAUAACAGCAUGACUUUCCCACAACUAUUAUUCUUCUUUCGAACUACGAGUUGUCCUUUUCUUCCUUUUUAAUAUGCUCAAAAGAUUAUUAAUAAAAGAAGAUUUAGUAUAUCUUCCUAGAACUUGUCGUUGAUCGUUAGUGCAUUUGUACUAAAAAUUAAAUCAUAAUCAACCCAACAUUCAAGCACUUGUCAAAUCAAAUGCAAUAAAUCCUAGCUAUAGUUAAGAUCAUAGUAAAAUUCAUAAAUACAACACACUCGUAAAGAUGUCAUAAUAUGCGGAGGAGUGUCAUGAUUUAAAGGUUAUAAAUUCGGAAUUUUUGUCUAAUUAAAUUACUGAGUUCUAGAUUAAUUAGUUUCUUAAAACAAAUAUACAAUUUAGACCAAAAUUAAUAAAUGCAGUCAAAUUCAUAAAUUUGGGUGUUUGUUCUGGUUCGAAAUAGCAGGUGCUCGCAAAAUUUCGGACACUACUAUUAUAAAAAAAAUGGUGUUUGGAAGGAAAUAAAUUCGGAAAUAAGUUCAAUGCACCUAAUAUGGAAUCUUGGUUCUUACUACGUCCACAUAUUUUUUUGGUUAUUUAUGAACCAAAAACAUUACUUUAAGAUUACCAUUUCACCAGUACUUGUCGAUUCAUAGCGUAAACAACGGAGUCAAUAUUCAAGAAAUGUAAUUUAAAUUGGAUUUCUUUAAUCUUUCCCAGAAAAAGAAAGUGGGUUUAAAGCAAUUAAAGCGCUGUUAUAUCUUCUUUUAAUUAUUGGCUUUAUAUAUGGGGAACUGUGACCUAUGUCUUUUACUGUGGAAUUUUAUUCAACCUUUCCAUUUAUUAAUUAAUUCCUUUUUCAGUUUAAAAAAACAAAGACAAGAUGCCUUUGUUUUUUAAACUGUUUUUUCAGCAUAAAAUAUGGCACGUGCAAACCCUAUUCAAGAACAAAAAGAAUUAAUUCAAAUUUUGUAGCUUAGUCCAGGCAAAGUAUAGUCGUGCACACGAGUGGCGGAGCAUAUCAGAUUCUGGUUAUUAAGUCUUAAUUAAACCCCUCUAGUUUAAUCACAAUUAAUGCUAAACCCUCUAGUUUAUUUCCUAAUAAUGUACUUAGAUGUUGUCUCUAUUAUAACUGGAAAAGCUUUAAGAAUCACAGCCUGACCUUCCACCCAAUCUUGACCAAAGAUUUUAAACCAGGAAAGCAAAAUACAAUAAUGCAUACAAUUCAUUUGUGAAGAUAUAGCGUGCAAAAAACAGUUUAACUGAAUCUAGUAUUUUCGGCAUAUAAUAUGUGUGUGUAAAAAAUUAUCAAGAUUUUAACAAAUAUUAAAUUUUGAGCAAAUAUUUUUAAUAGUCCAAUGUGUGUAGUCCUAAAAAUUUUAAAAGUUAAACCAAUCAAUUUUAAAAUUUAAAUUUGCUUAUGUUACUAUUGAUUUUUUUGACCCCAUCAACACAAGUUUUGAGAAAAAAAAUCCCAUGUCUUAUAUUUAAAACACACCGGGCAGGAUUUUUCCCGAUCGCCAAAAUUUUAAAGUAAACUCGGCAAAAUUUCAACAAUUAUGGUGAUCGUCAGGAUAUUGUCGCAAAUCCUAACAAACUACCAGAAUCUUUUACCAUUCGAAUGAAGAUUGACGAUCGUCAGAAUUUUUGGUUCUGGUGCUGAAACUUCCGAUGAUCUUCAGAAUUUUUGGUGCUUUAAAAUUUUGGCGAGGGUAUUUUGAUGUUUUGACACGGCUAUUGUCUUCAAAAUAAAUUUAACAAGGACAAAAUAUAAAUAAUAAUUCAAAAAAGGUUCAUCCAGCCUAAUAAUUCCCUAAUCAUGCUUAAGUUGGUCUACUCUUUCAUUAAUCAUUUGAAUCUAAGUUCUUAAAUUAAAUGAGUUGCCUUUUGGGUACCUCAAAUGUACUAUGAAUUGUCCUUUUGAAUAAGAGGUAAGUGUUGGCAUGGAUGUAUUUUCCCCUUUUAAUUACUUUUGAGUUGUCCACUACAAUUUGUUUUUGACAAAUAGUAGUGAUGACUAGUCAUACUUUUCUUUUAUUUAUUGUUACUUUUAAUUAAUAAGAGCAAUGAGUAAAGAAUAUAUGUAUUUUGUAAGAAGCAAAAGUGCACUUUAAGCUAGCAAAAAAGAAUUAAGACAGAAUUAAUGUCAUCAAAGAAACUAUAGUCAACCCUAGUUUGUUAUAGCUCCAUAAUAGAGGAAAAAAUUAAAAAAUUAAAAUAUUAAACUAUAUAUUAAAACACAUAUCUAGCAAUAUAUAGGCAUACAUUCCAAGCGUGUUUCAGUAUCUUCAUGUCCCCUACCUAAACCUCCAUUUUACAUUUUAAACUAAUUACAUGUAGUCAAAAUUAUAGUAUAUGUAUAUAUAAAUACAUCUUUUUUGUUUGGGUGAAAAAGAAGUAAUUGCUCCGUUUAUUCACGACAAAAUCUAGGAAGUAGGCAGAAUACUAAGCCAAAACAAAGUCCCAUGAAUCUAGCAUUUUUUAAAGAAAAAAAUAGAAAAAGAAAAAAAAAUUAUUAAGGAAGACUGGAAGAGUAAAAUUUUAAAGAAGUUAAGAAAAUAUUUACUGUUCAAAAAGGAUAUAAAAGUAUGUUGCCUACAUUUUUUCAUUAGUAAUGUACUUUGUUUGAAUACCAUGCCAUAAUAAAUUUAUCAGAAUAACCAAGCAAAAACAAAUUAUUUCUAAAACUCAAGAAAAUAGUUAAGUGGUACAAAAAAGAUUGCGAUCUCAAUUGGUUUUCUAUGUUAGUAUGUUAACACGUAAAACAAAAAAAUAAGAUCGUGACAGAAAAUAGGACAUCGAUUGUUAGACUAAAAAUCGAUUAGAGCUGAUUUUAUAUAUAAGGAAAAACUUAUAGCAUGUUUGGCCAAACUUUUAAAAUUUGCUUAAUUUGAGAAGUGUUUUUCAAAAAAGUACUUUUGGUGAGAAGAAUUUUGUGUUUGACUAAUUAAUUUGGAAAAUAUUUUUGAGCAACAAUUAGUAUUUGACCAAACUUUUAAAAAGUGUUUCUAAGUAUUUUUCUGAAAAGUGUUUUUCAAAAAAGUAUUUACGGGGAGAAGCUACUUUUUUCUGCUUCUCAAAAACUGCAUCUACUUUUACUCAAAAGCUCUUUUUUUCUUAAAAAAGUUUCGCCAAACACCUUUAACUUUGAGGAAAAAAAUACUUGGCUGGCCAAGAAAAAAAAACUUUGCCAAACAUGCUAUUACUUACGUUCAAUCUUUAUACCAAACUAGAUGAUUUAUCCGUAUAAGUCACAAAUUAAUAUACAACAUUAAUAUAAUUAAUUUAUAUUUAACUUAUAAAAUUUAUUUUCCAUUUAUUAAUUUAACACGAAUAUAAUGUUUAAACUACCCAUCUUAACUAAGAACCAUGUUGAAGAUACUCUUUUUUCGUCUAGCUCUUAAUAUUUUGGAGUCUGAUUAAUUUAGAUUCUAAUCGGGAAAUUCCUAAUUGAAAUACUUCGCUCCUUGUAAAAAACUAUUUCAUUCUCAUGGUUCAAAACUAAAAAUUUUGACUAAGAAUAUAAAGAUAUUUAAUAUCCAUCAUCCAUCAUAACUUUUGGUAACUCCUAUCUAAGAUAUAAUUAUUUAUUUAUUUUUCACCCCGUAUUCGAUACUCAUAAUCCGAUUAAAUUCAAAUUAGCAUCGAAAAAUUCCAUAUAAGUGGUUAGCAUUCCUAACAAAAACAUUUCAAGCUCAAAAACUCGAACUCAAGAGGAAUACUUAAUAUUUCACUACAAUCCUUGUUAGUCCUCUCUCUUACUUAAUAUUUCACUACAAUCCUUGUUAGUCCUCUCUCUUAUAUUCUCUAUUCAAUGACCACUACUGUUCCAUCUCUACUAUAGUAAAUAAUAAAUGUAAAAAAGUGGGAAUUUUUUUUUGACUUCUCAAAUUUCCAAGCCAUUCACGACGGAGACACGUCGACGUCACGUGAAGGUACACGUUUCAGCUGGUUAACGGACGGAGCUUAAACGGCGCCGGUAACGGAGUAUUCAAAUGGGUGGUGGACAGGUGUCAGCGUGGAACCAGUUGUGGGCCCAUUUGAGUCCAAAAAACAGGUCCAUUAAAUUGUUUUGGACUUCCGAGACAUGGCCCGUACGAUCCGCUUGUUCUUCCCAUCAACUUUCUCACCUAAAUUUUACCAAUUUAUUAAUUACUUCCCAACUUUGUAAGUACACAAAUUCUAGUUCCACUUGCAAUGCUGCAGCAGCACCAACAACAACAACAACAACAAUAAUCCAGUAUAAUUUCAUUAGUGAAAUCUUGGGAGGGUUGUGUGUUCGCAGACCUUACCCCUACCCUGAAGUAGAGAGGCUAUUUCCAAAUGACCCUCGGCAUCCUUCCCUCCAAGAACUCCCCACCUUUCUCUUGGGGUGACUCGAACUCACAAUCUCUUUGUUGGAACUCACAACCACUUGCAAUGCAGCAUUUACGGAUAAUCCUUUUUUGCCCGAACUUUUAAAAUCUGAUUAUUUUUAAAAGUAUUUUUUUUCAAAAAAGUAUUAUUUGUGAGUUUAUAUUUGACUAAUUAAUUUUAAAAGUACUUUUGAGCAGUAAUUAGUGUUUGAUCAAACUUUUGAAAAUUAUUUCUAAGUAUAUUUUUCUCAAAAGUAUUUUCGGAGAGAACCUACAUUUUUAUGCUUCUCAAAGUCUGUUUCUGCUUCUACUCAAAAACACCUUUUUUUUCCUUCUAAAAGCUUGGCCAAUGGCCAAAAAAAGACUUUUGCCCCCCCCCCCCCCCUAAAAAAAACGUGCCAAACAGGCUAUAAUUGUAUCAUACUAUCUACUUCUNNNNNNNNNNNNNNNNNNNNNNNNNNNNNNNNNNNNNNNNNNNNNNNNNNNNNNNNNNNNNNNNNNNNNNNNNNNNNNNNNNNNNNNNNNNNNNNNNNNNNNNNNNNNNNNNNNNNNNNNNNNNNNNNNNNNNNNNNNNNNNNNNNNNNNNNNNNNNNNNNNNNNNNNNNNNNNNNNNNNNNNNNNNNNNNNNNNNNNNNNNNNNNNNNNNNNNNNNNNNNNNNNNNNNNNNNNNNNNNNNNNNNNNNNNNNNNNNNNNNNNNNNNNNNNNNNNNNNNNNNNNNNNNNNNNNNNNNNNNNNNNNNNNNNNNNNNNNNNNNNNNNNNNNNNNNNNNNNNNNNNNNNNNNNNNNNNNNNNNNNNNNNNNNNNNNNNNNNNNNNNNNNNNNNNNNNNNNNNNNNNNNNNNNNNNNNNNNNNNNNNNNNNNNNNNNNNNNNNNNNNNNNNNNNNAAAAAAAAAAACUUGGCCAAACAGGCUAUAAUUGUAUCAUACUAUCACUUCUUGUUUUUAAAAGUCGUGCAAAUGUUGUUAUUUUUAUUUUUUGCAUAAAGUUACGAAAAUAUUGUUCAAUGAAAUAGCGAUGAUGUGAGAUUAGAUCCACUAAGCGAGAGUUCUUCUAGAGGCAAUUUUAGGAUUUCUAGAACAUGGGUGCACUACUAAAGAAAGGAGGAAAAAUAGUGUUUAAUGGAAAUUGAUCCCUGUUUCUUUGAGUAAAUAAUUAAGUACUGAACCAAGUGAUAAUUCAACAUAUAUAGAGCAUGAGUGUCAAUACAUGAUAUUAGACCAAUUCUAGAAAAUACGUACAUAAAAUAUGGCGGAGAGACCAUGAUUCACGUGACCCAUAAUUAUCACUAAAGAUCCGCCCCUAAGUUCUUCCACUUGGAAUUCCUAGAUCACCCGAUCGUUUCUCUUUAAUCACUCAAUUUUACAUCAAAUAGACUUAUACUGUUAUAUUUACGAGCAGAAUUUUAAUUUAAGUUUAUUUCACACACCUCCGUUUGAAUCGAAUAUGGAUUACCCUAUUAGAAAUUCUAUAAAUUCUAUAUACAAUGAUAUUGCAAUUUGAAAAUUAAAGUAUUGUCCUGUAAUUAAAGUAAGAAUUUAUUUUUAUCUUCCGCCCUUCAUUCAAUUUUCGUUUUAGAGCCCGAUUAAUCGAUGGAAAUAUCUUGACUUUGGUUUAUAACUUGAACUGAAGAAAACAUUUAAAACUAAAAAUGAAAAAUAACUUAUAUUAACACCUGUCACAAGUCUUUACGUCCGAAUAGGUAUCCAAAGAUGCUACACGACGUAUUUUUGCCAUUUUGCAUGAUAAAUGCUCUUUUAAUUUCUUGAAAAAACCAGUUUCUUCGUUCUAUUUUAUAUAGCGGUGUUUUGAUCACAAAAUUUAAGAAAUAAAUAUAAACUUUUGACACAUAAGGUAAAUAUAUAUUUGAAGUAUAGAUGAUGGCUAUUACAAAGAAGUCUGGUUGUAUAUAGUCAACAUCAUCAUUUAUGAAUAUGAAAUUGCAGUAGAAUUAAUGUAAGUAGUGCUUGAGAAGUAGCCCGCACGAUGGAAAAAAAAAACAAAUAAAUUGGCUAAGUGAAGAAAGAAACACACACACAAAAUUUAUGAGAGGGCUAAAUUAUGAAUAUAUUCAUGAAAAUCGAGGGGCAGCACGUGACUUCAGUACAAUUUCAGGCUUUCAGCCCAUACUUCACAAAUUCUAUUAUAUACUAUUAACAUGCUGUUUUGCUGGAGAAACGAAUUGAGAAAUGACUAAGAAUUUUAGCACCAUUCCUAAAGCUAUUGACUUGUCUAGAGCUUAUUUAUAUAACACCAUCAUAUUUGGAAACUUCUACUUGGAACUUUGCCCCUUCCGAAUAAUUCAAUAAAUUUAAGAUAUCUUUACACAAAUAGUCGGGUCGAAUUUACUGGUUAAUUUUUUUAACCGGCUGAGAUGAGGUCAGGAUUUAAAUCUUAUGGGUUCUAUAUUCGACUCCUUUUAAUUAAUUAAUCGAUUCUAAAUUAAUAAUUUAUAAUGUUAAAGAGUCGUUUGGUAGCCGGUUGGAGAGGAAUUAUCCAUGUAUUAAAAUUAAGAUAACUUUACACAUUGUUUGGUUACAAAAAUAGGAAAAAGUAAUCUCCACAUAUAAUUUAGCAUAAGUUAUACAAUGUUUGGUUGUUCUUUUUCUCUUUUUCACAUAAAACAUAGUAUUGCUAAUAUAAUGUUUGAUUCAUGCUUUUCUUUUCCGCAUAACUAAUACAUGUAUAAGUUAAAAGAGAAUCUAUGUAUUAUUUAUGCAAGAUAGAAGAUGGAAUAACUUAUAUAUAUGUAUUAAUAAUUGUUGUAUUAAAAUACAAGAUGACAAGAAUAACCUCUAUUCAAACUUAAAUUUUUAGUUUAAAAUAUACUUAACAAUUUUAAUAGAAUAAACUAGACUAAUAAUAAAAAAAUACCCACAUUACAUUACUAAAUUACUAAUACUUACAUAACUAUUGCAUAACUAAUACCUGUAUAACUAAUCCUUGCAUAACUAAUUCAUGCAUAGCUAAAUUCUGCAUAACUAAUCGUAACAUAUUUAAACUCAGCAUAACUAAUCCGUGCAUAACUAACUCUUGUAUAACUAAUCCUUGCAUUAUUACUACCCCAUAGCUUUAACUAGCAACCAAAUGACCCCUAAGUGAUUUUCUUAAGACAAAUAUAGGAUUUGAACUAAAGCUACUAGGUUUCGGCCGAAACCGUAUCCCAUAUUCUAGCUCCACCCAUACUCUCCGUUAUAUAUAGAUUAUACAUUGAUCAUACACGAUUAUUACACACCUAUUAUAGAUGGAUUAAUUAUACAUAUAUUACGUACAUCUGCCAACUAUUUUUAAUUUUAAGCGGUUGGGUGGACGACUAUUUAGGUCAAUUAUUCUAAAUUUUAAUUUAAAUGAUGCAAAGAACAUUACGUAUAUGGAACUCAAUAUUCUGCACGAAACAUUGAUACAUAGUUAAAUAUAUAAAAAUUCACUAAAAUUUAAACAAAUAUAAAAUUUUAAACCCAUAACUUCAAAAAUAGAAUAACUACUAAGAAGUAAGAACUUUAAACAUUGAUUUUAUCAAGAUUAAAUUCUAGAAUUUGCCUUGGCAUACUUAACAUGCAACAAUUCUGCAAAAUGAGCAGUUUUCUGUGAUAGAAGAAGCGGUAUGGUUGAUUAAUCUGGUGAAGUAAAAUUAAGAAGAACUAUAAGAGAUGAUUAUAAAUGUUGCUCAGUAAAAGGGGAAAAAUGAACAAUUUUUUAUGGUAGUUGUAGCUUGUAAAUUACUGAAAAGAUGAAUUAAAAAUUAGGUAUCUAAACAAGUUGAAGUACUAAACCUCAAAGAAGAUCCAAGUUUUGUCUGCUAAUAAGUUAGGUUCCUGCCUGGAACAAUAUUCUUUUUUGAAUAAUUAUUGUAAUUUUGGCCUUUUUGUCUGUCGAAUAAUAAAUAUAAUUUAAAAAAAUGAAUUUUAAUUUGCUGUAUUAGGAAUGAAUUUAGUCGACUACACUAAACCUGUCUUAUUUGUUGUCCUAUGGAAACGUAUAGGUACAAUAAUAUACUGAUUUAACAUAUACAAAAUCUAAUAUACAUAUGCAGACAAAUAUCUUCUUUUUCCUCUCCCUUAAUUUAUAACGAAAAUCCGAUGAAUUUUCCAUGUCACUUUUCUUUCAAAAUGUACUAUGACAAAUGUAGCUUAAAUUUCCCAUUUGUAGAAUCCUUUCCCUUGUCUACUUUCAUAUAACACUAUAUAUUUGGAGUCAAAUCAUUUUUUUCUUGACUAUGCUGUUAAAACAAAUUCUAUUAAUCUUUAAUAUAGAAGCUGUGCUAUAAUAUUCUUUUUGUAGAUGUAUAACUCUAAUUAAAAAAUUUAAGAAAUCAAUGUACGAGUAUAUACGAUAUUAACUUAGAUGCACUAUUUAAGAAUGUGGUGGAAUCGACAAGUUUCUUAAUUCAUCUGAUUUGAGUUUUGAGGAUGAGGUUUUUUUAUUGUAGGAAUUAGGGAGCGCUAAAACACUAAAUGCUUGAAGAAAAAAUUAAAGAUAACUUAAAUGUUUUUUUAUUUUCUUUUUCUUAUUUUAGACGAAUUAUUUUUCUUGAACCGAGGAUUUAUCGUAACAACUUUUCUAUCUCGCAUAAGGUAGGAGAAAAGUCUACGUAUAACUUAUAUUUUUCUCAGACUCCAAUUAUGCAAUUACACUAAAUAUAUUAUUGUUGUUUCCUUUACCGACUUCAUUCCUAUAAUAUAAUGGGUUCAUAAUUCUAUUAAGCACACAGCAUAAAUCAAGGUAGUAAUCUGGAACUUGAUGCAUAAUUUUGACUUAGAACCCAAUUAGAAACUACUAUAAUUCUGUCUCCAAUUAUAAAAAAGAUUAAUUAAUACUGGAAUUGUUUUCUCCAUUAUUCGUGGCUCGAAGUAAUCAACCUUGCUACUCCACUUGCUAUCUUGGGGUUGAUGCUUUUUGUUUGUUGUUUUGUAUUCUAUGAAACUUCUUCCUAAAACCUCCACCACCCCCACUUGCAAAUAAACAAAUAAUUAGAAAUUUCGUCGUACUUUUGAGAAUCCAAAAAAACCAUCAAUGGAAACAUUAACAACGUCAACGUCUUUCAAGAUUUGAGAAAUCCAAACAAACAUCAAUUAAUGUAAAUCUUAACGAGAAACUUUCUCAAGAGAGUACUUUGUCGAUUCUAAUGUUUCAUAAUUGCUUGUCGUCUUUUGUCUGUGGUCUCAUGCACGUUGAAAAUUUUGUUGAGUCCAAGAAAAAGAAAACCACAACUAGCUCUUAUUUUGUCUUCGCUAAUCCAUAUAAUUAACUCUUCUUCACUUUGAGUUUUACCCUUGGAUCUUAUAAACAUACACCCAAAAAAAGUUUGGCAAUUUAUGCCAAUUUUUCCUCUUUUGAGUUUUCCCAAAAUAUUCUACACUUUUCAUAAAUUAAAAGCUUUAGUAAUAUAUUUUAUAUACAUAAAAUUUAUGUUACUCAUUUUUACUUUUCUUCUAUACAACUUUGUCCUCUAUAUAUUGUGUUUUUUUGUUGUUGUAAUUUUUAAUGUUAACUCCACAUAUUUUCCAGAGAAAUACUAAAAUAUCCAUAUCUCUAACUCUUUACUUACUAAUUGUGCUUAAUUUAUUAUAUCUACCGCCAAGAUAUUAAUGAUGCGAGUGUCCUUUGUAGUACUUCUUAUUCAUUUACUAAUCCUCAUAAGUCUGUGAUUAAAUAAUGCUCCCGGGUCCACAAUAAGUGAUUUUUUUGCUCUUUUUUGUGAUCCAAAAUAAAUAAUUUUUUCAGAUUUUAAGAAUGAAUUAAUUAUUUUUCUCCUACAUUCACCUUGGAGUAAAUACUAAAUAGUGUUGGAGUAUGUGUUAGGAGUAUUUAUGUGAAAAGAUAGUAAAGAUUAAUAUGGUCAAUUUUAUUGCUAAUUAUUGUUAAAAUAUAAGUUUCUUAAUCUGUGUGAAAACAUGAAAAAAAAAAUUAGUUAUUGUGAAGCGGAUGAAGUAGUAGUGUUUCUCAUAUACGUCCUUAAUUGUUGGUUGUCUCCAGCCAAUUAGCCAGCCACCGACCCAUCCCCAGUACUCCCAACCCCAAUGAAACAAACGAAAAAUUGAAAUUCCUUAAAACAUGGUUUAGUUGCUAAUAAAGAUGGAGUUUAACUUCAAAAUAAUAGAACGAAGGAUGGGAUUAGCAAUCUGAAAAAUAUGACAUAUUACCUUCUAUAACCAUAUUUAAUUUUUAAAUAAUAGAAAGAAAAAAAAAUCCAUAAUUAGUAACCUGAAAAAUACAACAUGUCAUCUUCUACAACAAGGCGAAAAACAAUGAUGGUCCAAAAUAUUUUUAUACUAUCAGCAGUGGCUGAGCCAGUAAUUUUACUAAGAGGUGUCAAAAUAUGAAAAAGUAAACUCACAAAAAAGUAAACUCACUAUAUAUACACAUAAAAAUAAAAUUUUGAUCAAACUAAACAAUUUAAUGUUCUGGCGAAAAGGUGUCAAUUAACAUCUCUUAGCAUAGGUGGCUCCGUACUGAGUUUAAUCACUGCGUUCUUGAGAUGUUUAUGAUGCUAUGAAACAAUAAAGACAUAAUAAAAGCUGGAGAUUAAUAUUUCACUGCAGUCUAAAAUAUUCAAAUUUCACUGCAGUCUAAAAUAUUCAAAUUUCACUGCAGUCUUUUCUUGAAUCAAGUAGUGAAGUGUACUAGCUAGUUUAGGCUAUUGCCUUAAUGAGAAUUAAUCAAUCCGUUCACUUUGCUUAACGACAACAUGGUCAAACUUGUGUAAAAUUCAAAGGUGCUUACAUCAAUUGUUAAGUUUAAAAUUGAUGCACAUUCUUUUACAAGGUCCCCAUAUGUUAAUCACGUUUUUUUAUUCUGUAAUUUAAGAAUGUUUUGGCCCCCUUUGAGAUAUAAAGACAAAUAAUAAAUACUAAGCACAAAGUGAUGAUAAAAGAUCCAAAAGCUAUAUAAAGGACAAAUUAAACGGCAAAUAAUUAUGAGUUAUUUUGGAGAGACCAAACACCAAAUGAUUCAAAGACAACUAAGAACACAUCAUCUAAUUAGUUCAUAGCUUAAAGGUGUAUUGCCAGGCAAACAAAGGGGCCCUUCAGUUGAUUGUAUUUGAACAAAUUAAUCCCGGUGAAAAGGAGCCUUGGCGUAACGAUAAAACUAUCCCCGUGUGGUUUAAAGGUUACAGGUUCAAGCCGUGGAAUCAACCACUAACGCUUGCAUUAUAGUAAGCUCAGUGGACCUUGCGUAAAUACAAGAUGUUUUAUGCACCUGACUGUCUUUUUUUAAUUUGAGUAUAUAAUUCCACAUAAAAAAAAAUAUAAUAUUUGUUUAGUUGCCUAAGAAAAAAAAGUACCGCAUUUGAAUGACGGGAAAUUCGAUAAUAUUCGUAUUAAGUUAUGCGAAAAUCAUGUUGCAUAAAUGUGAAAUAAGAAAUAUAUAUUAGCUAUUUAGGGAUGAAACCACUUAAAGGCAAAUUGCUCUUUAAACGUAAGUCAGUCAUUUGUAACAAUUUCUUUAUCAUUAAUCAUAGAAUAAAAGUCAUUCAAUAUUAUUAAUCACCUUAUAAACAAUCGUUAUAGUAUGUGAAUCAAACAAAAAUAAAUGGAAUAAACUUAACAAAGACGUAUUAACCUCUAUCCUACAUAAACUAAGUGCUAAAGAAGAAAAAGACUUGAAUCAACCUUUUCAUAUACGUUAGGACAAUUUUGUUUGCAUCAAAUUCUAUUAUCAGAACUAAUUUUGGCUUGAUUAUGAUUUUUUUGUUUGGAUAUACGGAUCAUAUCAAGUGGAAUUUGGAACCUCAUUAUUCUUAUAACAGCGACAUUAAUAUUACAUGACAAUUAUUCUGUAUAACCUGUCAUUCUGUUUGUUUCAAAUGGCCGCUCAAAAACAUUUCUUAAAUAUUUUCAACUUGUAACCUCGUUUUACAAGUUCAUUGUUUUCACUCUAAAGUCAAAUACAAAUUAAAGUAAGUCUUCAAAGAAGUUAUUCCCUCUUGCCAAAAUUGAUAAAGCACUUAGGUAAUCACAAACCUUUUAAAGUGAUUUUUUGUUGCCUAGAAACUAGUUAUGGUUUACAAAGGUACUUGACAGUUGACGCACAAAAAAAAUAUUUUUUCAAAAUACUAAAUAACAAGUGCAUGAUAAAAGAACUUUCGAUUUGUAAUGAUUUGUCACUCCCCAUGCAAAUCUUUAUACUAACAACCUAUUAUACCUCUUAAUUAGUUAGUAGCUCAUGUGAUGAGUUUAACUUUUUUCCUAUUACCUAUGUAAAAGAUGGAUUUUCAAGAAAUAACCCAAAUAGCAGCUCACUCGACUGCUUAAACUAAAAAUAGUCAAUGGAAAUAUAAUAUAUGCAUAAUUUGUGUAUUAUAUGUGUAUAAUUAUGUAUAAUUAAUGUAUAAACUAUAAAUAUGAUUAGAAAAGGUAAACAAUGAAUAUAAUCGGCUAUUUGUGUAAAAGUUCCAAAGAUGUUAACGCAAUUAUCUAAGCUAAGAUUAACUGUUGAUAGCCUGAUAAUAUUGUUGCGCUAAAAUGACCCAAAGACAUUCUUAAACAUGAUGUGAUAUUAUUUGUUUUCGAUCAAGCACACACUUUUUCCUAAAAGACCUCACACAAUUAAAAAUAUUCAAUUCCUUUUAUAAAUGGAUCAUUUCUUUAUUCUACUUUCCAUGUGGUUAUCUGAAGUUGAUUGGACAGUUGCUAGUCAAUGCAAUAGGAAACUAUUAAAAACUUCAAAUUAAUGUCAAAAGACAAUUCCAACACCACAAAACCUUCGAUUUUUACAAUGGAAGAGGAAAGUUUAGUUAGUGAUCUUACUGCAAUUACCGUGUUAUUACUUAUCCGGCUUUAAGAGAAAAAAGAAUUAUGGCAUGGUAGCCAUGAUUAUAAAUGACUAGCCGCUCCUAAGAAAUUUUAAUUCGAGAAUUCGAUUUUAAAAUCAAAAUGAUCAAAUGAAACAAAGAGGAGACGGCUGUGUUUGUUUGAUGUGUUGUUAAGGAAUGUUUGGACUUAUUGGUAAUCAAGCAACCCAAUAACCUUGGACCGGCUAAGUAGUUUUCCUUGUAAUCUCGGACAACUUUAGUUCCCAAGUUACUACUACUCUCCCUCGUACUUAAUUCCUCGCUUGUUCUUGUUACUAUAUAUGGAUAAAAGAAAAUAGUUAUUCACGCAUACUAUCCAUUAAAAUAUGAGUUGAAUAAUGAAUUAUCUAAAAAAGGGUCAAAUAUGGAUAUCAGAUGGAUAACUAAUGGUUUUUAACUUUUACAUUUGUAAAGCCUCAAUUUGAGAGUUUCUCAAAUUUGGGAGACUAGAAUUCUCCCAAAAGUGAUCAUAUACAAGAAGCCACGGAAAAUAUGGUUAUUCAUAUUAUCUGCUGGUUAAUCUAUUUUUAUAUGGGUCGGGUCGGACAAUUUAUCUGUUUUUUGCAUCACCCAUCCUCGACCCGACCCACCUAUUUUCCACCCCUACAUGUAGGCAUUAAAUUGCUCUUCAGAUUAGAGGUUAGAGUUAGAGUUCUAACUACGGAUUCGAUAGAAUCCAGAGCUUUGACUAUAACCCUAUAUUUAUACUAAGAAAUUUUAUGAAAAUAUAAAAAUAAUUAAUUCAAAACACAACUUUUUCUAGAAUCCUAAACCCAUAUUUAGUCUUAUCAGUAACAUAUUCAAUAAUCGAUUCGUGUUCGGUUGAACUCACGCUUUUGGUGUUGAUAGAGUUAAAUACAUAUAUUACCUAAUUCUAUUUUGAAUUUGUAUGCCCGAUUUUGUACUUUCUUACUGGAGCAUACAUAACGGACAAGGACUGUUUAAUCGAGACCGAGAAGGAUAUAGAUCUAGUGAGAUCGAAGGAAGCCUGCUAAGUCGAAUAACAGCCGAGGAAUUCGUGACCGGGCAAGGAUUGUGGCGGAGAUCUCAGCAUGUAUCAAGUCAAGACCGGUUGAUUAGCCAAUUAGGAGAUUUCCUUAUGUAUUUAGAAUUGUACCAUAUGUAGAACUCAUCUACUAUAUAAAGAGGGUUCCAAUCAUUUUGUAAUGGGGACAUUCACGUAUAACAAAGCAAUAUAUUAUGUUUUCUCUCUUAAGCUCUCUUAUUCAGUUGUUCAGUUUUUGCUUUUCGAUAAUAUACUCAAUUGAUUCGAGGGCGACCAAGCUCGAGGGUCAAAGUUGCGCGUUACAUUGGUUUACUUCAUUUUACAGUUAAUUUCUAACUUCGAUUCUCAUAUUUCUCAGUUUGUGUCAAGUGAAAUCACAUAUCCUUAAAACCACUUACAAAUUUAAUUGUUAUCCGAUUUUAAGGGUAAACAGUUUGGCACCCACCGUGGGGUUAAGGAUAAUAGUGAUUGUCUAGUGCGAAUUUUCAUAACACACAUUGCUUUAUACUUGUUCUUGUAAGCGUUUUUGAUUCCAGGAUCAGUAUGUCGAACUCUCGAGCAGUACCCAUAUACAUCGACAAUGGCCUUGGUUUUCAUGGCAAAAACGACAAUGUAGCCACCCCAGGAAACGAAGUGCCUCCAGUUGACCUCGAGGGAGUACCAGUUGUAGACCCUGAAUGCAAAUCUGGGCGUCGAUCUCGAAAAUAGCGUCCGCAGAGACGUUCGAUCAGCCGGUCAGAACGCACAGGGUGAUGAAGAAGGCGGAAUCAGCCUCCGAAUAAUAUUCGAAAUGUUGCAGGCUCAAAUAGCUGCAAUAGAAAAACUUCAAAAUCAGAACCACGCACCGAGUAGGGUCGAACCCGAGCUAUCACAGGAAGUUGUUCACAGGGCUGAACCAGUACCGGAGAGGUCAAAUGUGAAUGAGUCAAGGACCGACCCAGCUAUCUUGAAAAUGUUCGAGGAGCUGACAAACUGAAUUGAAUCGAGGGAGAAGAAGAUUGAAGAGAAUGACAAAAAAGUAGAAACAUAUAACUCCCGAGUUCAAAUUGCGGGGGCACCACCGAUUUUGAAGGGUUUGGAUUCAAAGAAAUUCGUACAAAAGCCCUUCCCCCUGAGCGCGACUCCUAAGCCCAUUCCGAAGAAAUUCCGCAUGCCAGAAAUUCCCAAGUAUAAUGGAACUUCCGACCCCAACGAGCAUGUCACUUCUUACACAUGCGCAAUAAAGGGGAACGAUCUAGAGGACGAUGAGAUUGAGUCCCUACUGCUGAAGAAAUUCAGAGAAACUUUAUCAAAGGGGGCAAUGAUAUGGUACCAUAAUUUGCCACCUAACUCCAUUGAUUCUUUUUCCAUGCUCGCAGAUUCCUUCGUUAAAGCACACGCCAGAGCGAUAAAGGUCGAGACUAGAAAGUCGGACCUCUUCAAAGUAAAAUAGAAAGAUAACGAGAUGCUCAGAGAGUUCGUAUCUCGGUUCCAAAUGGAGCGUAUGGAUCUGCCUCCGGUCACCGACGAUUGGGCCAUUCAGGCUUUCACUCAAGGCCUAAACAUACGAAGUUCGGUAGCCUCACAACAGUUAAAGCAGAAAUUGAUCGAAUAUCCAGAUGUAACCUGGGCCGAUGUGCAUAAUCGGUACCAGUCAAAGAUUAGGGUCGAGGAUGACCAGUUGGGAUCUCCUUCCGGGUCCGUUUAUCCAAACAGGACUAUCGACAGAGUUAAAAGGGAUAUUGACCGGGAACCACGAUCAAAGAGAGAUCGAUAUCAGCAAUAUGGUGGAGAUCGGAGAAACAACGGGCCUGAACGCAACACCGUUCGAAUUGAUAGAAGAAAUGAUCGAGGACAGAGCUCUCGAGGGUUCAUGAGUAAGAGCGAUUUCGACAGAAAUGUGGAACCCAAAGAAGCACCAUGAGUAUCGGAAUACAACUUCAACAUUGAUGCAUCAAAUAUUGUAUCGGCCAUUGGGUGCAUCAAAGACACCAGGUGACCCCGACCUCUACAGACCGAUCCGGCCCAGAGAAAUCCUAAUCAAAUGUGCAAAUAUCAUAGCACCCAUGGUCAUAGAACAGAAGAUUGCAGACAGCUGAGGGAGCAGGUAGCCCGUUUGUUCAACAAAGGGCAUCUUCGAGAAUUCUUAAGCAAUCGGGAUAAAAACCACUUCAAGAACAGAGAUUCAAACAGACAAAAUGAGCAAGAAGAGCCACAACACGUGAUCCACAUGAUUGUUGGAGGGGUCGAUAUUCCUCAGGGGGCCUUAUUCAAAUGCACCAAGGUGUCGAUCACGAGGAAAAAGCGGACUCGAGACUACCUACCGGAAGGGACUUUGUCUUUCAAUGACGAGGAUGCAUAGGGGAUCUUACAACCCCACAACGAUGCACUCGUAAUAUUUGUCAUUAUGAAUAAAUUUCAAGUUAAACAUGUUUUGAUUGAUCCAGAUAGCUCGGCCAACAUUAUUCGAUCGAGGGUCGUAGAACAACUCGGCCUACAAGAUCAAAUUGUGCUCGCAGCCCGAGUACUAGACGGCUUCAACAUGGCAAGUGAAACCACCAAUGGUGAAAUUACUUUGCCGGUGAACGUGUCCGGGACCAUCCAAGAAACAAAGUUCUAUGUGAUAGCGGGUGAUAUGAGGUACAACGCCCUGCUCGGAAGGUCGUGGAUCCAUAACAUGAGGGUAGUACCUUCGACCCUUCACCAAGUUCUGAAGUUCCCGACAUCGGAUGGAGUCAAAACAGUGUACGAGGAGCAACCCGCCGCCAAUGAGAUUUUUACAGUCGAUGAAGUGAUACCGGUAUUGGCACUCUCAUCAAUGAAGGGAUCAGAUUCGAAGGGAAAGCAGAAGGCCAAAUAGCAACCAUAAAUACCGGACUCGACCCAAUUGCAGGAGCAAGGGAUCGACGAUGAUGACGACUAUUGGAUCCCUCGAUCCUUCAUAAUUCCCGAUGACUUUGACGCCACCAAGUCAACGGUCGAAGAGCUGGAAUAAGUCACACUAGCCACGCAUCAGCCCGAACGAAAGGUAUACCUAGGCACGGGGCUAACCCCCGAGCUCAGGAAAAAACUUAUUCAUUUCCUUAAAGCUAAUACAAAUUGGUUUGCUUGGUCCCAGCUCGAUAUAACAGGGAUCCCACCAAAAAUUACCGCUCACAAACUGAGCCUUUACCCUAAAUUAAGCCCGGUGAAGCAAAAAAGAAGGUCCCAGUCCGAGGUCAAACAUGCCUUCAUCAAGGACGAGGUAACCAAACUUCUCAAAAUAGGAUCCAUUCGGGAAGUAAAGUACCCCGAAUGGUUAGCAAAUAUAGUUGUAGUCCCUAAGAAGGGAAACAAACUUAGAAUGUAUGAAGAUUAUAAAGACCUCAAUAAAGCAUGCCCCAAGGAUUCUUUUCCUUUGCCUAAUAUUGAUCGUAUGAUCGAUGCCACGGCCGGCCAUGAGACUCUCAAUUUUCUCGAUGCCUACUCCAGGUACAACCAGAUACAGAUGAACCCAGAGGAUCAGGAAAAGACCUCGUUUAUCACUAAGUACGGUACCUACUAUUAUAAUGUAAUGUCAUUCGGUCUAAAAAAUGCUGGUGAAACUUAUCAACGCCUAGUAAACCGAAUGUUCGAAGAACUAAUAAGAAAAUCAAUGAAAGUUUAUUUGAUGACAUAUUAGUUAAAUCCCUGCGAGCAGAGGACCAUUUAAAGCAUUUGUAGGAGACUUUCGAUAUACUGAGGAAGUACAAUAUGAAGCUCAACCCCGAAAAGUGUGCAUUCGAGGUUGGCUCGGGUAAGUUUCUUGGUUUCAUGGUGUCCAAUCGAGGAAUCGAGAUCAACUCCGAUAAAAUUAAAGCUAUCGAGGAUAUCACGGUAGUGGAUAAUGUAAAGGCCGUGCAGAGGCUGACGGGGCGGAUAGCUACCCUAGGACGAUUCAUUUUCAGGUCCUCAGAUAGGAGCCACCGAUUCUUCUCGCUACUUAAGAAGAAAAGCAAUUUUGCAUGGACUUCGGAAUGCCAGCAGGCCUGGGAGGAACUAAUGCAGUAUUUAUCGAGCCCACCGCUGCUUCACACCCUGAAACUGGACGAACAGCUUUACCUGUACUUGGCAGUCUCUGAGAUAGCGGUAAGUGGAGUCCUGGUCCGAGAAGAACAAGGUACGCAAUUCCCUGUCUAUUAUGUUAGUCGAACCUUAGGUCAGGUCGAAACUAGAUAUCCACACUUAGAAAAAUUAGUGCUUGCUUUAAUAAGCGCCUCUAGGAAACUAAAACCAUAUUUUCAAUGUCAUCCAAUAUGUAUUGUAACCACUUAUCCUCUUCGAAAUAUUUUGCACAAACCCGAGCUUUCGGGUCGAUUGGCCAAAUGGGCCGUAGAAAUCAGUGGGCAUGAUAUUGAGUAUCGACCCCGAACUGCCAUCAAGUCUCAAAUCUUUGCGGACUUCAUGGAUGACUUUACGCCGGCCCUCGCUCCCGAGGUUGAAAAAGAACUACUGAUAAAAUAGGGUACAUCUUCGGGAGUCUGGACCCUCUUUAUGGACGGUGCUUCGAACGCGAAGGGUCCGGACUAGGCAUCAUACUAAAAUCACCCACAUGUAAUGUAGUUAGACAGUCUAUCAGAACUACCAAAUUAACUAACAAUGAGGCCGAGUAUGAGGCCAUGAUUGCAGGUCUCGAACUAGAUAGAAGCUUGGGAGCGGAGGUCAUAGAGGCUAAGUAUGAUUUCCUCCUCGUGGUAAACCAAGUUAACCGGACUUUUGAAGUCCGAGAAGACCGAAUGCAGAGGUACUUGGAUAAAGUACAUGUGACUCUAUAUCGAUUUAAGGAUUGGACCUUGCAACAUCUGCCUCAAAAACAAAAUAGCGAGGCCGACGCUCUUGCGGACUUAGGUUCAUCAGUCGAUGACGACGAACUCAACUCGGGGACUGUCGUACAACUUAUGAGAUCGAUAAUCGAAGAAGGUCACGCCGAGAUAAACUCUACAAGUUUAACCUAAGAUUGGAGAAAUAAAUACAUAAAGUACUUAAAGAACGGGAAGCUUCUAUCAGACCCAAAAGAGUCGAGAGCUCUGUGCACAAAGGCAACAUGGUUCACUUUGUCCGAAGACGGAAUGUUUUUUAGAAGGACGUUCGAUGGACCGUUGGCAAUAUGUUUGGGACCGGGAGAUACCGACUACGACCUACGAAAAAUUCAUGAGGGCACUUGUGUAAAUCAUUCUGGUGCCGAUUCGCUAGUCCAUAAAGUAAUCAAAGCAGGGUACUCUUGGACCGAUAUGGGGAAGGAUGCACGAGAGUUCGUUCGAAAAUGCGACAAAUGCCAAAGGCAUGCGCCCAUGAUUCAUCAACUAGGGGAACUACUCCACUCGGUCCUGUCCCCAUGGCCCUUCAUGAAAUGGGGAAUGGACAUCGUUGGCCCUCUCCCGUCGACCCCAGGUAAGGUUUAGUUUAUUUUGUUUAUGAAUGAAUAUUUUUUUAAAUGGGUUGAAGUACAUGCUUUCGAGAAACUCAGAGAAAAGAAAGUCAUAGACUUCAUUUGGGACCACAUCAGAUGUCGAUUCGGGAUGCCCUCCGAGAUUUUUAUGUGAUAAUGGAAAACAAUUCAUCGGUAGAAAAGUAACUGAAUUUCUCGAGGAUCACAAGAUCAAAAGGAUCCUAUCAACACCUUAUCAUCCUAGCGGGAACGGACAAGCUGAAUCGACCAACAAGACCAUCAUCCAAAAUCUUAAGAAGAGAUUGACCAACGCCAAAGGAAAAUGGAGAAAAAUACUACCCGAGGUUCUAUGGGCAUACCACACAACAUCGAAAUCCAAUACCAUAGCAACACUCUUCUCGUUAGUUUAUGGUGCCGAAACUCUGAUCCCGGUCGAGGUCGGAGAACCUAGCAUCAUGUUUCGAUAUGCAACAGAGUAGUCGAAUAACGAGACCAUGAAUACGAGCCUAGAAUUGUUGGAUGAAAGACGCGAAGCCACUCUCAUUCGAUUGGCCGCCCAAAAAUAGCGGAUCGAAAUAUACUACAAUCUAAGAGCCAAUCUUCGACAUUUUAACAUUGGGGACUUAGGUUCUAAGAAAAUUCACACUCAACACCCGAAAUCUGAAUGAAGGGAAAUUGAGUCCGAACUGGGAAGGACUGUACCAAGUUAUCGAAAUCAUCGAAAAAGGAUCCUACAAGCUCGGCACGAUGAACGGCGAACAACUACCGAGCAAUUGGAACGUACCACACCUAAAAUGAUACUACUGCUAAUGUACGGUCCCUCAUAUUUUUAUUUAUAUUUUAAACUAACCCUUGUAGUUGUUCGACUAGAAACAAUGAUGGAUUCUUCCACACAAAACCUUUAGGUAUGAAAGCACGCGUUACACUCUUUUUUCCUUAGACCGGUUUUGUCCCAAAUGGAUUUUCCGGUGAGGUUUUUAAUGAGGCAACCAUUGAUCGUGCUAACUUAGAACAAUUCAACAGUAUCCGAGGCUUCUUUAAAAUCAAUCUCGAAUACUGAGGGGCAUUACCCUCGAAUGUCAACUUUGAUGCGAGGAAGUUACUUCAUGGCAGCAGGGCCUCGAUAGGAAAAAUUUGUAAGGGCCAAACGGUCAACCGAACUGUGCCCGCAUAUUUUUCUCGAGCCCUCCAUAGAACAUGUACGCAUAUAUAAUCAUUUAUAAAGAGAAGUAUCUUUUUUUACCGAUAUCUCCUGCCUUAGAAAAAAUUUUCAACUUUACAAUUUCAUACUCUCGAUCUAUUAUGUAAAUAGGCUUAAGGGCUGACUAUAACCAGAGUUCGGAUAAUUACCCCUACGCUCAGGGAUUGCCGUCCAAAAAAUAAACGAGAUCGAUCUAUUAAAACUCCGAGAUCAUAAGACCUUUUAGGCAACCCUCGAUUUUUAUAGGCCACGACCACUCCACUCGGGGACUGACACUUCGGGAAAGCUCGAAGUAAAAUGGGAAAAUAAGCCCAAGGGGCAAAUAUCGAACUAAAGAGGCUAUGGCUGAAUUAACACGCAUCAGAGACGUACGAAUUUCGUGACCAAACAGGCCUUCGAAUUCUUUCAUAAAUCGGUUAAAAAGGCUAUCCUGACAAAAUCAUAAAAGGUUUCGAUAAUAUCAAGCCUCAAAAACUCUAAUGAGUAUAAAAUUGUUUGAACUCUCGAACAAUUCCUUAUUUCAUGCUAAGGCAUUACAAGUUUUGUUAAUACAAAUGAUAAAAAAAAAAAUUCAAGCCGAAAAGGGGAGAAAGCCAUAAACAAUCUUUUUUCAAAAGCCUAAGGAAUUUUUUUGCUUUGAGUUCGAGAGACCAUCCUUGCUCAAAUAAAAAACCUAAGGGUUACCUUACUUCGAGUUCGAGCAAGCACUCACUCGUUCGUAAAGCCUAAGUGCUAUACUAGUUUGGUUUUAAUCAAAUUGUGUAAACCUCGGACCUUAGAAUAUAACUUCAUAAUUUUAUAAGGCAGGAAGGAAGAAAGUUUUUAUGUCAAAAAUCAUUUACAAGGGCAGCAUGUCCCGAUCAAAUUUAUCUACAAAAGACCAUAACGGUCUUAAAAGAAACACAAAAACUACUAAUCCAAAAGGACUUAGUCUUCUCCGGGAGCAGCAUCUACGCCCUCGAGGCCUUCUUCGCUUUCAGAUCCACUCAUACUCCCAUAAUCAUCAUCAUCAGGAAAGGCCAACACUCUGGUUUUAGCUUUAAGCUCCUUAGCAUUCUUGAUCUCGGCUGUAAGAUUGAAGCCACGAGCAUGGAUCUCCUCGAGAGUCUCCCUUCGAAACUGGCAUUUAGCAUGAUCGGCAACCCAGUUUGCUCGAGCUUGAGCAGCUUUGGCAACCUCCUUUGCUCGAACUUGAGCAGCUUUAAUGUCGGACUGGCAGACGGCCACCAUUGCAUUAGCCUUGGUCAUUUUGAACUCCGAUUUGGCCGCUGCAAGUUCUGUGGCCAGUCUCUCUCGAUCGGAAGUUGCUGAACCCAACCGAGACUGGAACUCCUCAAUUUUCUUGGCUUGCACCAAGGCCUUCUCUUUCAAGCUUCGGAGUUGGGUCUCAGCCGAGGCCAGUUGAGCUCGGGCAGCCUCCUUUUAUGAGGCAAGGCGAUUUAUGUUCUUCAUCCACGCCUCGGCUUCCACUUUCACUGCGUCCACUUCCUCACAAAGCUGCCCGAUCACAUCGAGAUUUCGCUAGACUUGUGGGACCGAACUGCCCGAAGUCUUGUUGCUUCCCCUUCUCUCUGCUCACUGAGAAGUUUGAAGGCGUCUCUCUCCUCAAUAAGCCCUCAAAUUUCGACUUCGUACUGGAUCAACUCCCCUCGGGAUUGGAAGAAAGCCUCGUGAUGAAGCAUAAAAGCCUACAAAAAUAGAAAGAAGGAAUAAUACAAGAGGAGAAAAGUACAAGUAUGAAAAUUGACAAAGAAAAUAUGAACUUUUCCGGUUCAGGGCCUUUUGGGCUUUGUUGAAAAGACAAGGCGCUCCCACCUUGUUCAUCUGGGCUUGGUCUUCUUCCGUGACCAAACAUCGGAGGUAGCUAGCCACCCCUACGGGGGCAGCAAGAACCCGGGUAUCCUCCGGGACCGUGAUAGAGAUUGUUCGCUUGCGCCCGGCAUAGGCAGUAGGGGCCGUAAACUAAUUGGUCAGUUUAAAACUCGAGGAUGCCUCGCUAGAGCUCUUCUUCGGAGCCUCCAAGUCACUCAGACCGAUGACAUCUUCUACCCCAACAAAAUAACCACGGAAAGGAUCUUCCUCUUCGUGGGCUCCCUCCCCGUGACAAGUCUCCACGGCCUAAGCGUCGCGUAUUAUCGACUUGGAAAAUGAAGGAAACAAGGGGGAAUCCCCGAUCUCUAUUGCCCCAAGUGGGACUUUUGGGGUGUCGCCUCUGUCUUGGGGAGCCUCAAGCCCGGUUUCUGCACCGGCAUCCACCGCUUCUUCAACGGUCUCUUCUCCCCGAGAUAAAGCAUCUUUGGUUUCUCUCGGCUAGGGGACUUGGGCCGAAGUCUCCUCCUCGACCUCAUCAAGCCUAGACGGAGCAGUAUCAACUCCCAUCGGUUUUGAAGUUCUCUGAAUCUCGGUGCUAGCUCGCGCACGGGCCACCAGCCCGGAAUCAUCUUCUUUUUCUUCUUCUUUUUCUUUUUCUUCUUCUUCUUCUUCGUCCCUUAGUCUUUGGACUGACUCCAUAGUCAGCGGGAUUAUGUUCCCCUUGGGUUUACGGGCUGUUCUCUUCUUGGGUUUUUGACCCUCGGAGUUCGAGGCCCUUUUCCUCUUAUUCUCCUUUGUCGGUUUCGAUAUAGGUGAUGAAACGUCUUCUUCACCGGAUGGGGGUCUCAUAGUCGUAUCAUUUUCGAGACCUACAAAAGGAGAAAAUAAGUAAACUCAUAUUUGAAAAGAUGCUUGAACGAUAGGCAAAUCGGUAAGUUAGGAAGAAGGCUUACCAUGAGUACGAGCCUCCUACCGACCCUUUGACAAAUCGCGCCAUGCGCUCUCGGUGUAUAUUGACGUCGAAACAUGCUCCUAACCCAGUUCUCGAGGUGGGGAAUCGCACCCCGCAUCCAAGCAACAGCGGCAUCGAGAAAAAUACUGAUAAGAAAGGAUGAAGAAGUAAAAACAACGAACAAAAAAUAAAGACGGAAUCAUACUUACGUUUCAUAUUCCAUUUCUAAGUAAAUGACAUGCUCUCAUACGAGAUUAGGUCCGCGGUCUUCACCCGAUUGAACAGGCCCAUCCAGUCCCGAUCUUUGUCUUCAUUUAUACUCGAGAUGAGCGCCUUGGUGGCCCGGCAUUGAACCUUUAUCAACCCACCUCGAUAGAGUCGAGGGCUAUAUAAUCUUAUGAGGUGGUCAAGGGUGAAGGGAAUCCCGUCGAUUUUGCUCAUGAAGAAACGGAGCAGUAUCACGAUCCUCCAGAAAGAAGGGUGAAUUUGGCCGAGGGUCACUUGGAAUUUCUUGCAGAAGUCUACGAUGACCGGAUCGAGGGGACCCAACAUGAAAGAAUAAGUGUAAACACUCAGGAACCCUUCCACGUGGGUGGUGAUCGCUUCUUCUGGUGCUGGUAUCACAACCUCUUUAUUUCGCCAGUUGCAAUCUUUCUUCACCUAGUGUAUGAGGCUUUUGGAUAUCGAACUUAUAUAUCUCGAUUACCGGCUCGCAUCGACUAGGAACCGAUGAGGGUUUCUCGACCUUAAAGUCGGAAUCAAUGACACACCCCCCGGGAAUAAGUUCUUCAGGGUGUGGCUCCACCACUUGUUUCUCGCCGGCCGACCGAGAUGAGGAAGUAACCUCUUUCUGCGAAAUAUUUUUAGAUGUUUUGGCCAUUUAGUUUUUGUGGGUAAAGAAGAAUGGAGAUUGAAGUAUUUGGUGUUUUAUGAAGAACAAGCAAAGAAACUCAAAAACGUGAAGAUAUGAAGCUUUGGAGAAGGCAAAGAACUAUGGAGAUUGGAAUGAAAAAGAUUUGAAAGUAAAGUUUGAAAUAAUGAAGAAGGGGGCUAUUUAUCGGUUUCACAACGACAAUUCAAAACUGGUAAUGACCGACCGUCGACUGACGCACAUUAAAUACCUGGAAAACUGUACCGAAGAGACGUUUCGGUCACUCCUGCUGCUUAUGUCACGAUGAUUACGUCAUGAUGUAGCGAGGUGAAGAUCGAAGGCUCAAAUCGUUUCUUGUCAUUACUCUCCAAAAAAACGAGGGGACUAUCUGUAUACGGUCAAUUUUGUAUGGUUAAUAGAGAUCGAGAAGGAUAGAGAUCUAGCGAGAUCGAAGGAAGCCUGCUAAAUCGAAUAACAGAAAGCCGAGGAAUCCGUGACCGGGCGAGGAUUGUGGCGCAGAUCUCGGCAUGUAUCAAGUCUAGACCGGUUGAUUAGCCAAUCAGGAGAUUUUUUUCUGUAUUUAGAAUUGAACCAUAUGUAGAACUCCUCUACUAUAUAAAGGGGGUUCCAAUCAUUUUGUAAGGGGACAUUCACGCAUAACAAAGCAAUAUAUUACGUUUUUCUCACUUAAACUCUCUUAUUCAGUUGUUCAGUUCUUGCUUUUCUAUAAUAUACUAAGUUGGUUCGAGGACGACCUAGCUCGAGGGUCAAAGAUGCGCGUUACAUUGGUUUGCUUCAUUUUACAGUUAAUUUCUAACUUCAAUUCUCAUAUUUCUCAGUUUAGUGAAAUCACAUAUCUUUAAAACCACUUACAAAUUUAAUUGUUAUCCGAUUUUAAGGGUAAACAGAAUUCAAAUACAUAGUCUAAUUUUUAAACUCUACACUUUAAUUUUUGUAUAUGUAAAUUACAAUUACAACAAUAACAUUAACAAUAACAACAAAUCCAGUAUAUUAUCAUAAGUGGAGUGUGGAGAGGGUAGUGUAUAUGCACACCUUACCCUGCCUUUAAAAGGUAGAGAUGUUAUUUUCGGUAGACAAAUUGUAAGUUUGUAUAUAAUUAUAUUUACAUUAAGUUUGUAUAUAUUGUUAAAAAAAGUAGUAAUCUAUAUUAUAUUAAAAGCACGAAUGCCCUUAGCGAAAUGUCGUUCGCCUUUUUUACCCUUUUAAAAUGGAGUUCACGCUGGACAAAAUAGUAAUUUAAAUAUUUUUCUAAUAUGUAGAACUUUCAAAUCAAAUAAAAUAUUAUUUAUUAAAUCUUUCCUUAUUUGAAAUAUAUAAGACUCUUAAUUAAAAUUUUGGUUAUGAAAUUUUUCCUUUUAAAAUUAGUAGAAAGUUUAAUAUUUAGAAUUUCAAAAUAUUUUCUUUUCCUUCUAUUUUCUUACGACAAUUCCCUUCGAAAUAUAUUUAGGCAUUCAUUCUUUUUAUAGGUAAUAGCUUAGAAUUUUAAGGGAUAGUGAGAUGUUUAUACUUAAGAAAUAUUUUAAUUUUUAAAUGUAUUUUUAAAUAUUACAUAAGAAGAUAAAAAAUUAUCUAUAUUUUCUCUAUUAUUAUAAAAAUAAAAAUUCCCAAUGCAAUAAAUAAAUAAAUUAUUCUUUUAAUGUUAAGAAUAAAUAAUCAACUCUUUGAAUUAAUUAAUUAGCAAAAGAAUCCAAUUUAAUUCUUUUUCAAAAUCUCAUGUUAGUAAAGUUAUUUUUCAAGUUGAUCAAACUCUUAAGUUAUACAAAUUUGUUUUCAUAAGAAGAGCACCAGCGGUGGCAGAAAUUAAAAAGUUGAGCAAAAUUAGUUAUAUUAGUAUUAAUUUAUUACUUAUUUUCAGUAUUAGGUAACAAAAUAAUAAUAAUUUUCAUAAUAUAUUCCUAAAGUUCUCAUAAAUCAGAAUAUGGCAUAACAGACUUUUAUUGGACAAGAUUUCUUUAUUUAGUGAACUAGCUAAAUUGGCUCAACAUUCAUUAUUAAGAGCUAAUAUUUUUUAAUUUUUGUUCAAUAACUCAAAUAGUUUAUUUAAAAAUAGUCAUAUUAUUUCUUAAAAUUAUAUAUUCAUUGAAAUAGGAUACAUGCGCAAAAGACGUAUCCUAAGACUAGUUUUACUUAAAAGUAUGUUUGAUGAUCACGAAUCCAAUUGUACAAACUGGAUAAGUUUGAGAGUCCUGUUCUUUCGUUCCUUCUAAUCAUACUUAUUUGUUUCCUUAAAAAAGUCUUGGAACGUUAGCAUGUUCUGUGAAACUAGUAUAUUUGUUGAGAAAAUCAUCUAGAGAUGUUUGCGGUCGUAUUAUUUGGCUAAUGCAGUUCUAUAUGUUAUUCCAUCCUAAUCAAGUGAUCAAAAUUUGUGAAAACAAGUCUUGCUGGAGCAAUAGUAAAAUUGUCAUAAUUUGAUCUGUAAGUCAUAAUUUCAAACCUUGUAAGCAUAUAUUAUACUCAUAUUAGGAUAGUUAUUUAUAUCACAUCCCUAUAGUUUGGUCCUUAUCAGAUAUGAACCAGAAAUACCGUGUGCACCUAGCUCCCCAAGUGAGCAAUAUUUUUACAAAUGGCACAUAUUUUACAUUUAAUUGUUUGUUGUAAAACUAGGUUUUAUCCGGUAGGAAUUAUGGAGUAUAUCUCAACGUAUUUAAUCGGAGGGUUAAAAUUACUUUUAGUCAAAGAUAGACUGACGUGGUAGUACUUAAGCUAUUUGACUGACUAAAUUAACGGAACCGUCCGGUCCGGUAUCACGUGACCUGAAUCACAGAUUUCAAGACUCGCAAGUCCCGCCCAUUGCUGAGUCAGCCCGUCCAUAACUCCUUUUCGCUCCCUUAUCGAUACCGUUAAUUCACGCCGUUAGUGGGACCUUCAUCCACGUGUCACAAUCAACUGCUUCCAAAAAUGCGGCGGCUCGUAAAAUAUCUCCAUAUUACUAUUAGAACCCAACGUUAAUUUCAUUUAAAUCCGGAUUAGUUAUAAUUAAUCCUGUUUAAACAUUUUUAACUUAACCUCACUUAAAAAUAAAAAAAGAGUUUUACUAUUUCGACUAGCGGAUCCUAUAUAACUGGAUUUCCAGUUGUUUCGGUCUCCACGGAAACUAAACUUCCUACUUCACAGUUCACACUUCCUCUAUUAUCUCUACAAAGCUAUACAAUCAGUUCAAAAUCAUACUUUCUUUUUCAUCUUUCCCCGAGAUUUUCACAAGAAAAUCGACCUGAAAAUAGCUACAGAAUCCUAGUUUCCUCAGCACUUUUACUCCAUACAGCAAGUGAUUGAUUCUGUCUCUGUUUCUUCUGAACUUUUCUGUGUAUUUCCUCUUUUUUACUCCUCAGUACAUCUUCUGUGUUAUUGCAGCACUGACGUAGCCCCUUUUUUUUGUUCACUGUACUGUCUACUCUUUUGCUCUUUGGGCCUCUUAGAGAAUAUAAAUUCUGAUAUUUUUUCUUUUUUUUUCUGCUACUUUUUCUUGAACUUUCUGUGCUAGAAACGGGAGGUUUCCAACACAAUCAGUUUUUGAAGAUUUUUGUUUUCACUUUUCAUACCCCAAAACUGUUACUACUACAAAGCUUGUGCCUUUAAAAGAGCCCCCCUUCUCUACUUUAAGUCUUUAUUCCAAGAAUCUUUUCCCUUUUUUCAAAUGCGAAUCUGAGAAAAAUCACUCAUAAAAAUGGACCAACAAACCAUGUUGUCUAGUAGAGUCAAGUAUACUGAACAUAGAAAGCAAACCACUAUGGUUAAACCUUCAGCUCCGGCGACUGUUACCGGCCGGAGAAAGUGUCCGGAGAUGAAUGCUGCCAACGGUGGACCUAGAGUUGUACGUAUAACUGUCACUGAUGCUGACGCUACCGACUCUUCCAGUGAUGAAGGAGAGGGUCUCUACGGCCGUCACAGAGUGAAAAAAUUUGUAAACGAAGUGAGGAUAGAACCUUGUAUGGGAGAAACCGUUAAAACUAACAGUAGCGGUAACGGAAGUGUUACUGGGGUUUUGAGAAAUGGGCCGUCGGAAAAUCCUGCCGCACCAAAGAGGCGGAAGAAGAACGCCGGAGCUAUAAAGGCGGAGUCCACGGCGGCGAGAGGGUUAAAAGCGAACAAUGUUAAAAAGUUUCGCGGCGUACGGCAACGGCCAUGGGGCAAAUGGGCGGCAGAGAUCAGAGAUCCAUUGCGACGUGUACGGCUCUGGUUAGGUACUUAUGAUACUGCUGAAGAAGCUGCUAUGGUUUAUGACCACGCGGCUAUUCAACUACGUGGACCUGACGCGCUCACUAACUUCGCCACUCCUCCUGCGGCGAAGACUACCAGCUGCUCCUCCGGCUAUAACUCCGGCGGGGAGUCACACAACGUUCAACGGUCACCAAAGUCCGUUCUCCGUUGUGCUUCCACAUCCUUUGAAGAGUCUCAGAAUAACGAAGAGGCUGAAGCUGAGUCAAUACCGAGUUUACCCUCCGAGUCCGCUCAGAAGAACUCAGAUUUCAGGGACGAAAAUGACAUUUCAAACUUCUGCGAGUUUCCACCAUUUGAGAGUUUGUUUCCCGAUGAUUUGUUUCUGUUUGAGAACCCGGUUCCCAUACCCGACUUGUUUGAACCGGCAGCUUUACCCGACAACAUUUUCGGCGAAACUUGCAGUGACAUGUUCAUCGGGUCAAGUAAUGAUUUCGGUUUCGGGUCAUCAUCCUGGCCCGAAGAUGAUUACUUUCAAGAUAUCGGAGAUAUAUUCGGGUCUGACCCGCUUAUGGCUCUAUGAAGUUCAAACAAACAGUUGCAGCGCCUACUAAUUCUCGGCGUUCGGUUCGCUAUUUUCAUCGGCAGUUAAAUUAAAUCUCGUUUUUUAAUUUUCUUCUUUUUAGCUUAUCAGUUUUGCCUAAAUUUGUUAAUUAAUGUUAGUUUUAUGUGAGUGAUUAGUGAGUAAUUUAGUACUAGUAUGUAACAACUCCGUCACAUUAACGGUGAUGGACGAGAUUUUGCGGUAUAGUGUUGUUUUUGUGCUUCGUGCUCUACCACCUUUCUUUUUAUUUUUUUCUUGUUUAUUGCCUUAGAAAUGUUACGUUAAUACACCCUGGUCUUAUAUUACAUUACUAAAAAUAGUUAUUUUAAAUUAUUUAUUAUUUUAGAAGUUCAAGAUAAAAUUAAUUAUUUUUUUCUUUAAUAUUCUUAGUAAUUAUUAUUUUUGAAGAUGAAAAUAAUACAUAAAUAAAAUAAAUAUUUAAAUAUAAAAAUUUUAUUUUAAGACAUAAUAAAAGUAAAAUAGUCUAAUUUCUUUCCUAAUUAAUGUUUGCAUCUAAUAGAAAAACACAUAAUAUGACGUAGAGGGAGUAAUAAUAAACAACUUGACAAAUUAUUGUAGGAUAUGUUAAUGCUAAUUUAUGGUUGAUUUAAAAUUUAACGAUCUUCAAUAAUUGACCAAUAAGUUAGUGCAACAUUGAAGAAUUCUGUCUGGCGAGCAGGAGUUGAAGGGUAGUUGGGGUUGGGGGGUGGGGUGGGGGUUGUCUGAUAAAGGCAUGUGUACAAACACGUGACUUGAGAAGCAAUAGGAAUUAGGUGAAAGAAUGAAAUGGCAUGAAUGCUUUGGCCUACAUUUAGACAUGCUUAACCUGAACACAUUCUCAAUGCUUCAUUUUUAGUUGAGUAUCACUUGGAUUUUAUUUGGUGCAUUUUAACUUGUGAUAUCAUAUUACUCUGUAUAACUUAUCUUUCAAUACUUGAUAGUAUAAUACUUUAUAUUGUUAGUGUAAACUUAAUAACAUUUUUCUCUAAAACAUCGAGUUGUACCAAUUUACGUGCAAAAUUUCUUUUUCUACACGAUUUUGUAACGGGUUCUCUAUUAUAAUACCACUUGUAUACUAUUCGUGCAAUGUGAAUUUGAAAAAUCAGUAAAAACGAGAAUAAUUGAGCAAUGCUCAUUUCAUCCUGUACUGAAAAAGUAAUCCAGUGCACAAAGUUUAUUAUGUUCACGUAAGAUCGUGGGAAGGGUUGUACCCAAGGAGUGUGAUUUAUACAAGCUACCUUAAUACAAGCAUUCAUAAUUGUUUUCACGGCACGAAUCAUGAGCUAAUACGACACAAAAAAUAAAUGUACAAACAUUUUACCAAAUUAUGGUUCCAACACUGAAUGAAAAAAGGUGUAUAGUGAGUGAGUUGAGUAGGAUAAUACUUUUGGUACCACCACAAUAUGGUGAGGACGAUAAGAGGGCAUUGGUUUUGGUUUUUCCACGUUUCAUUUCUUUGCUCAUCCAAAUCCAAGAUUCACAAAGCAUUUGUACUUGAGACUUUCUUUUUCCCGUUAACCAACUAAUUUUGAUUAUUUUUUUCCUAAAUUAGAAGUGUUUUUAACUUCUCACUUCUCUUUUGGACAAUUAGAGUGAAGAGAUGGUCAAAGGCUGCUCUAGGAUUUUAUUUACCACUUGUUUUAAAUGGACAUUGAACUCGUAUUCAUUUCUGAAAUAUGGUUGAUUUCUUUUAAAGAAAAUAUAUAUAGCUCAAGUUGAUGGUAAUAAGUGUGUCAGCAAUCGCUGCUAUACAUCCGCCCAUUGGAAUAAGCUCGUAAAUAAUGGAAGGGGGAAAAGAUGAAAACACUGAUAAUUUUUGUGGUUGAAGAAGAAUAGCAACGAUAAAGUUGUGUCUGUAUCACCAAUAGGUCACGGAUUCGAGCCGUGAAAUCAGUUAAUGUUGCUUGCACCAGGGUAGAUUGUCUACAUUACAUCACCUUGUGGUGCAGCCCUUACCCGAACCUUAAGUGAAUACGAGAUGUUUCGUGCACCGGACUUCCUUUUCUAUACUCUAUACCUAAAAUUGUAAGGCGGUUUUGCAGAUACAUUUGUUAUUAUAAGUUUCUUUCUUUAUAUUCUAGAUAUUUGUUUAGAUUUUUAUGGUAUUAUUUGAUCGUUUUUAUCUUUUUAGUGCAAUUAAGACAUGCAAAUUUACUUGAUUAUCUUAAGCAAAUUGCAAGAAAGAGCGACAAAUAGGUCACAUCUACAAUAGAUUAUUAAUUGUAGCAUAGCUUUUUAGCAUCUAGAAUUAAUGAGUUUAGCACUAUGCUUACAGAUAUAUACUCCAGAACGUCCUUUAUGAUUAAAGCCUUUAAAAUUUAAACUACACGUUUAAACUGCAAAAGGGCUUACAUUAAUAUAGCAAAUUGAAUACCAUCUAAUAAUAGUGCAGUUAUUUUAUAGUGUGAGCCUUCAUUUGAACGCCAUAUAAUAGUGCGGCUUUAAUUAGUGUGAAAAAUUAAGCACUUUUACACAUAAAAUUUACGUUUAAACUCCAUUUAUGACGGCCAAGCCUAGGAAACAUAUUCUCUAAAUCCAAAUUUACUACAUUUAUAGUUUUUUCAUUUCACUGCUUCCUCUAAUUAACUUUAAAAGUCAAACAGUGCUUUGGUUUCUUUAAACACUGCUUUGAUUAUAUUCAUUCUUAAAAAUUAUUUAGAGGGAAAAAACUACUGUGAUUUUGAUAUGAAUUCACAAUUUGUUACUGUGUGAUUUUGAUAUGAGUAUAUCAGUAAGAGAAAUUUCAGUAACAGGAAAAAAUAAUUCUGGGAUAUAGGAAAAUGAGGCAAUAAUUGUAGGGUUGACGACAUGUUUGUUUGGGACAGAGAGAUCUCCAUUUAAAUCAUCGAAAAUAAGGUGGCGUGGAUUUUUCUUUUUUCUUUUUCUUCAGGUGAUGAUUUAUUGGGACCCUUUUCUCGUGCCAAUGUCCUUUUCCCCAAAUUAGCAAUAUUUAGUUAUUUACAAACGGUUGAUUCACCCCAAGAACCCGUGGCAGCUAUCUUGUGGUUUUCUGUUUCAACUUGACCUUGUUAUGAUGAUUUUUUUCAAGUCAAGACUAACAAAUUUUGCCAACCGUAAGAAUUCAAUUCAACAACAGAAGGCGAAAAGGAUAUGCUUGUAUUUUUGGUUGCUUGCUUUGUGUAUGUUAGAUGCGCGAAUAAAGUUUCACGUUGAUGGCUGAAAAAAUUGAGAAUCAAAAUAUAAGGUAUCAAUAUUUUUUAAUGGUGUUAGAUCUUUUAAGAGAAACGAAAAAGUUUAACCGAAAACAGAUAAUAUUAAGAAUAUUAGUAGGACGAUUUAGGUCAACAAUUAGUAUCAAAACCCAAAUUUAACAAGACGAGUAUAUUUAGUGGGCUGAUUUAGCCCAACAUUAUCACCAUUGCCAAGGAUAGAGUUCAAUUGAAUCUCCUUUGUCAGAAAUUAUAAUAUAUAAUUAUGAUAUAAACAAUUUUUCCCCCAUUAGAAGUUGUUGAGUCUUCUUGGUAGCUUAAUGCAUUGAUUCGUUAAUUUAUCGCACCAAUAGCCAUAUCUUAAAUUGACCACAUUUUCAAGAAGUGAAAAAAUAAUUUACUAGAAAUGAUCUUGAACCUAUGUUUUCCGAACUUUCUAAAAAUAUUGCUGCACAUGUAACGAAUCCUCCUCAAUGCACUGUUUUAGAAAGUUCGAAUAGACACGCAACAACAUAUUUUAGAGUUUGAGCAACAUAAUCGUGAACGCAAUAUAUUAGAAAUAUGAAGUAACACUCACGAGCGUUAUUGUACGUCUGCAAGCAGUUUGGUAAGGCAUCUCCUUUUUGUGCCAACAUGCCAUUUAGACAUAGAAGAGAGAUGUAAGAUGAUUAUUCCAUUUUCUCCUGUUUAUUCACAACUGGUAAACUAUUCCUUUGUCCAAAAUAUCAAAGAAGAAGAGAGAUAUAAGAUGAUUAUUCUGUUUGUACUCUUUUCGUGAUUCUCAAUAUGACUUUUUUACUACUAUUUUUCAAUAUGGUUUCUUUUUCAAUUCUGAUUAGAAGUAUUUUUUUUGACCCGAGUGUCAAUCGGAAAUAUUCUUUCUAACUCCACAAAGUAGGGGGUAAGGUCUGUGUAUACAUUAUUCUCCCCGGACCUUGAUUGUAAAAAUACACAAAUAGCACGGGCUAGUCAGUUUUCGGACUGGUCAUUCAAAAAUAGCCGGUGUUUGCCAAGUCAUUGAAAAAUAGCCACUAUUUUGCUGCAACAGAGACUGGUCCAGCAUAAUAUACUGGAGUUCGGUGCACCUGUGUAUGAACUUCCAGCAUAAUAUGCUGGACCGGUAUACUUUGCUGGCUCCAGUAUAAUAUACUGGAGUUUCAGUAUAUUAUACUGGAAUUCCAGUAUAUUAUGCUGGAGUAUUUUCCGGAUUUUGAACAGUGUUUUCGUUCAAAUUUAUCUUUACAUAAAAAGUGGCUAAAUUUUGAUAACUUUUGAAACUGUGACUAUUUUUGAAUAAACACUUGUAAAUCUGACUAUUUUUUAUUUUCUCCAAGUAUAUUGUUAUUAUUGUUGUAUUCCUUUUUGCAAUUCCUUUUCUACUGACUUGUUUUCUUUUCCUUGUUGGCGAGUGGGCCGGGAUAAAAAUAGUGAUAAAAAGAGAGUUUACAAGAAUUUCGAAGACAGUUAAGCUGUUUUGUAAAAUCAAUAUCAAACUCAAACAUAUGGUAAGUGGUCCUAUAAUGAGCUGUGAUUGAUCAGAGAUGACAAAAAUUUGGACAAAGCAACUAGCCCCUCUCCACUGUUAUAUAGCACUGCAACACUUCUGCAUCACAAAAUCUUAGCUUUAUUUUACAGAAGAAUUAACAUACUGCCCACAUAUUUCAGACAAAAUCCAAGAAUUUCAUUAAUUACAUAUUUUGGCUUGUUUUUCUCAGUGCCAAUGUAAUCUUCUCAUGACCAACAAAUUGACAGCAAAUCCAACUUUCUAUUUUCGACCCCUUAAAAGAACCUAACAGAACAAAAAUGUCUCUUUCAUUUUCUCCUGAUUUCUGCCUGAUUUACUGCAUGCAGUAAGCUAGAGUUUUCAGCCUUUUCAGAUCAUUAUCUUUCUUAAGUAUUUGCCAAAUUUUGUAUUUUUUUUCUUUCCAAAAAGGAGAACUCCGUGAGUGAGGAUAGCUUAGUAAUGAGCAUCUCGAUAAAUGGGAAUUUAUUUAAGAGAAGACGCCCGUAGAAGUUGUACGUGGAUACUGCUGUACGAACAUCAGACAUUGGAUAUCUCACUCACAAACUUAUUGAAGUAGUUCAACAUUGUUAUAGCAAUGCCCGAGAUAUUUCUACGAGUUCUUGGAAUGAGAAAUGCAGCAAAUUGAUUUUUAUCACGAAAAUUAACUUCUUAUUUAAUAUGAGUCAGUUGAUUUCAAUUAGACUAGAUCACUUUAUAAAGAAAAAUAGUUAACGGCAUUCUGAUAUUUUUUACCAAUAAAGGGGAAUUCUGAGAUUUUUUCUAAUAAAGGGAGAUAUAUAUUUUGGUUGGUCUACAAUGUUUAAGUUUAUAUUUGAAAAGAACCAAAAAGGAUAGGAAAGGGCCUACUUAAAAGACUAGGAUCUUCUGAGCUUUCUAGCCUUAGCUCCAAUUUGCCUCGUAAAGACAGCAAUUGGCUGGCAAAAGUCAUUUUCUUUUGAAAUUCUAGUAUCUUUGUUUUGGGUCCCAGAAAAUCUUGUAGAAUAACAAGUGCAUUUUCCUUCUGUACGUGUAACAGGGAGUGAUUUAUGGUGGGCUAAGUCUGUACAAUUUCAAUUACCUAAAGGCUUCACAUUAUUAAUAGUAUUCUAUACAUUAUAUGCUACUAUUUUUACUUAUUAAUUUUAGUGUAUAUGCGUUGCACGUGUGCAUUACGCUGAUUAAUAUAUACGUACACAAGAAGAAAAAAUUAUUGAAAAAUAACAAUUAGUAUUAGACUAAAUCCAAUAUUUGUUUAAAUGACGGAAAUGAGUCUUAUUACAUUAAUUAAAUUUAAUAUCUUCUGAAUUUGUUGUAUAAUAUUUGUGGUUAAUAGAUAUUUUAUUAUAUAAAAUACAAAUAUAUUAUAUUAUUGUAUCUCACAUAACAUCUCAUCAAAAAUUCUACAUUCAUAAUAUCAAUAUAAAAGAAAUACUUUUUAAAACUAAAUAAAAAGAAUGCACACUCUUUCAGUUUAUAUAAAAUGGAGUAUAAAAACUGUACGUGAAUUAUCGUGUAAGGAAUUAAUCAGUUUCUUCAUUUUUAUGGAGAAUAAAAAGAUAGAAUCUAAUUUAAUUUUAUCAAGAUUGUAAAAAAUAAUAUUAUAGGUAAAAAUUAAAGUUAAGCUACUUUUAUAACAAAAGAGAUUAAAAGUUUAAAACGCAAUCUGAAUUUCUCUCUUCUUCUUCUUUUUUUCUUAAGUUUGACUAUAAUAUUAAAACUUUUUUCUUUGAUAUUUAUAUGCCUGAUUUUAGCAUGGUGAUCGAAUUUGUUCUUUGUAACCUAAUUACAUGGAUGUUGUUUUCAUUCAAAGUUCAUCAAAAUUAUAGGUAAGUUAAGUGGACCUUUUCUUCUGAAAAGAAUUGUCUAUAUUCUUAAUACUACCCUAAACUCAUUCUCAACGAAUUCUACCAAUGUCGACUUUGAAAUUUCAAUAAUUCACAUUGUUGGGGACAAUUUUCCAAAAUUAUAGAAAAAAUGCAAAAUUUAUAGUUCUUUUGAAUUUCUAAAUAUAUUUGUUUAUCAAAAAAUUAAAAUAAUAAUUGAAGUUACAAUUUUACCUAGUAUGGCUGUAGAUCAUUUUUUUUUUAAAUUAACAUUAUCAUAAAAUUUUUAAACUUAUAGAAAUUUAUACUUAAAAUUAAAAUCAAAACUCUUAAAAAAUCAAAACAUAAAAUCGAAUAUGCAUUGCUGAUCAUAUAUUUGGAGAAAAAGAGUUUAACAAGGAAAAUUUUAAGUGUCACGUAUUAAACUCCAAAAGUAUUUUUAAGUCCAUACAUAAGGGUAUAAAAGUUUGUCAAAUGAGAAUUUUUUUUAUAUAAUUUGAACCCCUAAAUAUUAGGACUUUUUACAUAAUUUAAAUAAGAAAAAAUUUAAUAAGAGAAUAUUAGUUGAUUCUAAAGUCCUAAAUAUCAGAAAAAUAAUAAAAUGACUAUUUUGUUCAGUAUGAAAUAUAUUUUAAAGGGUAAAAAAGGCAAACGUCAUUUCGCUAAGGGCCUUCGCGCUUUUAAUAUAAUAGUCUUAGGGUACGCGCAUGACACGUGUAUUCCAUCUUAAUGAGUAUAUGUUUAUAUUUAAAUUGUGUUUGAGUUAUAAAUAAAAAUUAAAAAGUGUAAAAAUGAUAUGAUUGUUGAUCUAUUUAGCUAAUUCAAAGAAAUAAACUCUAUCCUAUAGAAGUCCUUAAUCUCACUCGAUAUAUUCAACUUAAAAUUCUUCCAAUUUUGUAAUUUCGAAAAAAUUAUCUAAUGCGUCGGUUUCUACUACAAAUUAAUGUUAGCGUCAUUUAGAAGUUGAGUCUCCCAUUCUUUUAUGGUCUUCUUAUUACAUGGUAUAAAAAUCUCGCAAUAUAAGACUAAUAGAAAGCAUGUGAGAGUUGAACGGUUAAUCUUUUCCUUAUGUUACAUUCUCUGUCUCAUAGGCAUAUAUAAAAUAUUUGAUGUGCUUAUAAAACGUUAGAGCAAAAAGAAGAAAAAUAAUUUAAUUACUUGUUUUAGGUGAGCUUUUCUUUUAUUGCAUGAAGGAUAAACUACAUUAGUAGUUCAGAUACACCACUGUAAAAGUAAGUAUAAUAGUUACAUUUGUACAGCAAAAUUAAGCCAAACUACAAAACUGAAGGAAAACUAUGUUUUGUCAUGUUUACUUGUUGGUAACAGAAAAAACUUAUUGGGAAAGAAUAAGGUGGAUUUAUACCAACAUAUUGUUUUUUCUUUUUGACUUUUGUUUUAUAUUUUUUAAAGUUUUUUUGUACGUUGUUGUAUUUUUUUUCUUCCGGGAUAAUUAACAUUGAUCAUGGAAUCUGACAACAUGCAUAUUGUUUCCUGGAUUUAGUCUUAUACGAAUUUAGUACAAAACUAUAGUACAUCUUCUGUAACCGGAGGUGCUACCAGCCCAGCCGGUUGCGGCUGCUCAAGCCCCGGUGUUCCCAGUUAUGACCGAUGAUGAGCAGCGGAGGCUUGAGAGAUUUGAGAGGUUUCGUUCUCCAUUUAGCUAAUUCAUGUACACAUAUACAAAGAAACAUUGACCGUUUUCAUUAUCAGGCUUACCUUUACACUUUCUAACUUACGAAAUCAAAAAUAAAAAUAAAGGGUACAAUAAGUUAAACAGGAAGAAGUUAUACCUCAAUAUUGUGAUUGUAUCUACAGAGCGAGCCUUUUCAGCCCAAGCUUAAAUUUUUGAUUAAUUAUGAGGUCUUCACGAGGAGAAUAGUUAGUUCACAUAUACAUGGUAUAUGCCUCCUCGCUUAACUCUGGAUCUUUUGCAUGUUACAUGCAACAUGGUGCAUUCAGUAUAUGGCCUGUACGUUUUUCAAGUCCCUGUAACAUAAUAGUUUAAAGCAAACAAUGAUAAUUAAAGUAUCAAUUUCAAUUAUGUGAAGCAAAUAAGGAAUAUCGACUUAAGUUAAGGAUAAAAUUACAAAAUUUAACAAAGCAAAGAAAAUAAUAUCACACAAAGCAGGACAAAUAAGAAAGCACUUGAAGCAAUGAACUUGCAUUAACGAUAAACAUAUGCCUUGAUAAAAUAAAAUAGACUCUAAAGUACAAAGAAGAUUCAAAUUAAAUAGAAAAGAAAAACACACAUAAGGAAAAAGAAGAUCUAGGAUGCCCGUAAAUUCAUCUACUAAGUGUUUAAUUGUAACGAUCCGGCCGGUCGUUUUGAGUGUAUUAGCCCCGAUCCCCGAUUUACUAUUUUUUCCGUAUUGUUUCUGCUUAUGUGACUUGCCGGGAGGUCUUAUUUUUGGUUUCUGAGUGUUUUGAGACACUUAGUCCCUAAAACGGUAGCUUAAGUCUCAGGAUUUUGACUGUAGUCGGAAGUGUGUGAAGACGACUCCAGAAUAGAGUUCCGUCGAUUUCGUUAGCUCCGUUGGGAGAUUUUGGACUUACAAGCGUGUCCGCGCUGUGAAUUUGAGAUCUGUAGAUAAUUUAGGCUUAAAAUGGCGAAAGUCGAAUUUUUGGGAAGUUUCACCGUGGGGUUGACUUUUUGAUAUCGGGUCCGGAUUUCGAUUCCGGAAGUGGGAGUAGGUCCGUAAUGUUGAAUAUGACUUAUAUGCAAAAUUUGAGGUCAAUCGGACAUAGUUUUGUAGGUUUCAACAUCGUUUGUGGAAUUUAAAAGUUUAGAAGUUCUUUAGGCUUGAAUACAGGUGUAAUUGGUGUUUUGAUGUUGUUUUGAGUGAUUUGAAGAUUCGGCUAAGUUCGUAUGGGGUUAUAUGACUAGUUGGUAUAUUUGGUUGAGGUCCCGGGAGCCUCGGGGAUAUUUCGGAUGCCCAUCGGAAGGAAAUUUGGACUUAGGCAUUGCUCGUUUCUUAUCGUGUUCUCGUGUUUUGCACCUGCAGUAGGAGCCCGCAUGUGCAGCCCUGCAGAAGCGAAGAGGAUAACGCAGAUGCGGGCAAGGCUGGGUUGGACUGCAAGCGCAGAUACUAGGUUAAGAGGAGGACGCAAAUGUGGAAGGGUAGGCGCAGAUGCGGAAAAAGUUGAGUGAGAAGGAUCGCAGAAGCGGGCAGGGCCCGCAGGUGCGCACUCACAUGUGCGAAUAUGUGACAGCAGAUGCGGAAUCUGGGAGCUUAAGUGGGAUCCGCACCUGCGAUGGAAUUUUCGCAGAUGCGACAGAAGGUAUGCAGGUGCGGUUUUGCUGGGCAGAACCUAUAAAUAGAAGACUUCGAGAAUUUUCACCAUUUUCACAUUUUGGAACUCAUAUUUUGGAGGAUUUUGAGGAGGAUUUUGAAGUGUUUGCUGAGGUAAGUUCCUUGUGCCUAUUUAUCUUUAAUAAUUAUGUUUACCCACUGAUUUUACACAUAGUUGGUGAGUUUUUGAGGUGAGAUUUGGGAGAUUAGGGCUUGGAAAUUGGAGAGUGAAUUUUGGGGUAUUGGAGGGGCAAAUGAUGGCGGAUUUUGAUAAAUUUGGUAUGAUUGGACUCGUGAGUGAAUGGUCUUUUGGGUUUUGUGACUUUUGUCGGGUUUUGAGAUGUGGGCCCGAAGGGCUGGGUUGAGCCUAUUUCGGAUUGACUUAUAAUUUUGUGUUUCUCUUGUGGAAUUGAUUCUUUUAGCCAACAUUAAUUAUAUCGUACUGCUUGUGGCUAGAUUCGGGGAGUUUGAAGAUUGAUUCGAGGGGCAAAGGCAUUACGGAGUAGGAUUUUGCGCGGUUUGAGGUAAGUAAAAGUUUUAAAUCUGGUCCUGAGAGUAUGAAACCCCUGAUUUUUGUAUGAUGUAACUAUUUUGGAGGUGACGCACAUGCUAGGUGGCGGGCGUGUGGACAUGCACCGUGGGGGAUUGUGACUUGAUCCGUCCCAUGAGACUGUAAAGUCGAAUAGACAAUUGUUAAUUACCUGUUCUCUUUGUGUUAAAGAGAUUUGUCUGCAAAUCAUGUUAGAAAUCGUGCUUAGGCUAUGUGAUAGUACGGUUGGGACCCACAAAGGUCGCGUACCUGUGAAUUAUUUGCUAAUUGUUGUCUUGUACUUAGUCAUAGUUUUACUUGCACAUCAUAUCUGAGUCUCUUCUUGAUUCCUGUUGAUACACUAUGUUAUUUUGUUUUGGCUGAUCUUUAUGAUUUCUGAGGGCCGUGAGAUUAGAGAGGUACAUGACUGAGUGAGGCCGAUGGCCUGGUUGUGAGGUAUAGAUAUCGUAGCACGUGAGUUGUCCGUACGAAUCAUGAUGUUUAUACUUAGCACGUGAGUUGUCCGUGCAGAUUCUGAUAUGAUAUUGUAGCACGUGAGCGGUCUGUGCGGAUCUUGAUAUGAUACGAUAGCACGUGAGUUAUCCGUGCGGAUUAUAGCACUUGGGCUAUAGGAGCCCCUCCAGAGUCUACACACCCCUAGUGAGUGCAGGUACCUAUUGAGUGUGAGUAUGGAGGGCUGAUGCCGAGUGAUUGAGCUGUUGUGACGAGUUGAGUGUCUGUUGCCCUGUGAGGCUGUACUUGUUUUUCAUUUGUUGAUGCACUUAGUUGCUAUAUGUUAUUGUUAUGAAAUAUUUAAAAGAUUCUAUAUCCGGAUUACCUGCACUGUAAGUGUAUAAACUCAUUUGAAUUGAACUGCCGGAUUUGAAAGCACGUCUAUUCUUUGUUGGAAUUAUUGAAAAUGAACAGUAUUUGUAUAGCUCGUCACUACCUUCUCAGUUCCUAAUUUAUUUCUGUUACUUGCUGAGUUGGUUGUACUCAUGCUACACCCUGCACUUCAUGUGUAUAUCCAGAUGUGUUUGAUCACGGAGGUCGUUGAAUUCGUGCGCGAUCGAGUACCAGAGACUACGAGGUAGCUGCCGGCAUCCGCACACCUUAUCUCUCCUUCUAUGUUUUUCCUUCUAUUUGUAUUGAAUCUUAGACAUUGUUUGUAUUAGACUGGAUAUCUAGAUGCUCAUGACUUAGUGACACCCCGAUGUAAGACUAUGUUUCCACACUUAUGCUUUGGGUUUUACCCCAUUUUUAUGAAAGACUCCGGUUAUUUUAAAUAUAUUAAUUCAUUUCUGUUAAAUGUUGAAAGUGUUUUGGAGAUGUCGACUUGUCUAGUAUCACGAUAGGCACCAUCACGACGGGUUAGGUUUUGGGUCAUGACAAGUUGGUAUCAAAGCAUAGGUUACAUAGGUUUUACGAGUCAUGAGCAGGUUUAGUAGAGUCUUGCGGAUCAGUACGGAGACGUAUGUACUUAUUUUCGAUAGGCUGCCGAGCCCUUAGGAAAAAACUUCACAUUCUUGAAUUCUUGUCAUGCAAAUCAGUUGAUUCUGGUGACUAAACAUCUGUUGUUUCAUUCUCUCACAGAUGGUGAGGACUCGUACUACGGGGUAGGAUGGAAAGCCACCAGUACCUCCAGCCAGGGCCGUGAGAGGCCGAGGUUGCGAUAAAGGCCGCGGUAGGGGCAGAGGUGUAUCUCGCACCGCAGCUAGGACAGCACCUAUAGAUCCAUCAGUUGCCCAGUUCAGGAGCAGGCUCCAGUUGUGGAUGUGCCAGUGGGACCAACUCAGGCACUACCUGUGCCUAUUGUGAUUCCAGGCCUUCAGGAGGCCUUAGCUCAGAUUCUGACUGCGUGUACCAGUCUUGCUCAGGUGGACUCUGUUCCGGCCGCAACAGCCACUUCUCAGGCCGGGGGAGGUGCUCAGACUCCCGCCGCCUGCUCACCAGAGCAGGUGGUACAUGGAUUCUAGACACCGGAGGCACCACCAUCCCAACCGGUUGCAGCUGCUCAGGAUUAUGUGGUACCUGUCAUGCCUGAUGAUGAGCAACGUUGAUUGGAGAGGUUUGGGAGACUCCAUCCUCCAUCUUUCAGUGGUACCGAGGGAGAGGAUGCACAAGGCUUAUUGGAUAGGUGUCAGAGGAUACUCCGUACAACAGGUAUUCUAGAGACCAGUGGGGUCUCGUUCACUACUUUUCAGUUCUCUGGGGAUGCCUUCAGUUGGUGGGAGGCUUACGAGAGGUGUAGUCCGGUCGGCGCAGCACCCCUUACCUGGCAGCAGUUCUCAGGUCUAUUCUUGGAGAAGUUCGUGCCUUAGUCCCGUAGAGAGGAGCUGCGCAGGCACUUCGAGCAGCUUCGUCAGGGUGAUAUGUCCGUGACGCAGUAUGAGAUGAGAUUUUCAGAGUUGGCCCAUCAUGCUAUCUGGUUGGUUCCCAUAGAUAGGGAGAGGUUCAGAAGGUUCAUAAAUGGCCUCACUUUUCCGCUGCGAUUGCUUAUGACUAGAGAGAGAGAGUGUGUGGUGCUACUUUUAAUGCAGUUGUCGACAUUGCUCAUCAGAUUGAGAUGGAUCGCAGCCAGGAGCGGGUUGAGAGGGAGGCCAAGAGGCCUCGUGGACAGGGUGGAUUUAGCGGUGUUCUUUCUGUGGGCAGUUCCACCACGGUAGGGGUCAUCCUUUCAGACAUGCUCAGACGGCUCGCCCAGUCCACCGUGGUGCAUCAUCUGGCCAUGGGUCACACAAUCAUUAGCAGGGCAAGUCGUCAUUCAGUGCGCUACCAACGCACAGUUCUCACCAUGCCUCAUCAGCUCAGGUUUCCACAGGUAGUUCCUCUAGGCAUCAGGAGCAGCAGUUUCGUCAGAGGAGGGGUUGUUUGGAGUGCGGAGAUUUUUGAUCACAUUAAGAGAUAUUGAGGCCGAUCAGGGGGUGGCCAGGCUCGUUUCUAUGCUCUCCCUGCCAGACCAGAUGACAUUGCUUCGGGUGCUGUGAUUACAGGUAUUGUCUUAGUUUUCCAUAGAGAUGCCUUUGUACUAUUUGACCCCGGUUUCACUUAUUCAUAUGUGUCCUCGUAUUUUGCCCAUUCUCUGGUUAUGCCUCGUGUGUCUCUAGUUGCAUCUGUUCGUGUAUCCACUCUAGUAAGUGAUACUAUCAUUGUGGACCGUGUAUAUCGGUCAUGUGUGGUGACUAUUGGGAGUCUAGAGACUAGAGUGGAUCUCUUGUUGCUUAGUAUGGUCGAUUUUGACGUGAUUUUAGGUAUGGAUUGGUUGUCUCCAUGUCAUGUUGUUCUAGAUUGUCACGCUAAGACCGUGACGUUGGCGAUGCCGGGGUUGCCGAGGGUUGAGUAGAGCGGCUCUAUAGACUAUGUUCACAGUAGAGUGAUUUCAUACUUGAAAGCUCAGCGGAUGGUUGAGAAGGGUUGUCUAUCUUAUCUGGCCUUUGUGAGGGAUGUUAGUGUAGAGGCCCAAAUUAUUGAUUCUGUUCCGGUGGUGCAAGAUUUCCCGGAUGUGUUUCCUGUAGACCUGCCGGGCAUGCCGCCCGAUAGGGAUAUUGAUUUCGGUAUUGAUUUGGUGUCGGGCACUUAGCCCAUUUCUAUUCCACCGUACGUAUGGCACCGGCUUAGUUGAAGGAGUUGAAGGAGCAGCUUUAAGAACUCCUUGAUAAGGGGUUUAGUUGGCCUAGCGUGUCACCUUGGGGUGAACCAGUUCUAUUUGUGAAUAAGAAGGAUGGUACUUUGAGAUUGUGCAUUGAUUACAGAUAGUUGAACAAGGUCACAAUCAAGAACAAGUAUACUUUGCCGCAUAUUGAUGAUUUGUUUAACCAACUUCAGGGAGCAAUGGUGUUCUCCAAGAUUUAUUUGAGGUCAGGGUAUCACCAGUUGAAGAUUCGGGACUCAGAUAUUCUUAAGACAGCUUUCAGGACCCAAUAUGGCCAUUAUGAGUUCCUUGUGAUGUCUUUAGGGCUGACCAACGCCCAGCAAGGUUCAUGCAUCUUAUGAACAAUGUGUUUCGGCCUUAUCUUGAUUCGUUUGUUAUUGUAUUCAUUGAUGACAUCCUGGUGUACUCUCGUAGCCAAGAGGAGCAUGCCCAGCAUCUGAGGAUUGUGUUACCGCGAUUGAGGGAGGAGAAGCUUUAUGCAAAGUUCUCCAAGUGUGAGUUUUGGCUCAGUUCAGUGGCGUUCUUGGGGCAUGUGGUGUCUAGUGAGGGUAUUCAGGUGGAUUCGAAGAAGAUAGAAGCGGUGCAGAGUUGGCCCAGAGCGUCCUUAGCCACGGAGGCUCGGAGUUUUCUUGGGUUAACGGGCUAUUACCAUCAUUUUGUGGAGGGUUUAUCAUCUAUUGCAUCGCCCUUGACUAAAUUGACCUAGAAGGGUGCUCCUUUCAGGUGGUCGGAUGAGUGCGAGGAGAGCUUUCAGAAGCUCAAGACUGCUUUGACAACGGCUCCAGUUUUAGUUCUGCCAUCAGCUUUUGGUUCUUACACGGUGUAUUUUGAUGCCUCACAGAUCAAUAUUGGGUAUGUUCUGAUGCAGGAGGGUAGAGUGAUUGCUUAUGCUUUGUGCCAGUUUUAGCCCCAUCAGAGGAACCAUCAUGUCCACGACCUUGAGUUAGCAGUUAUUGUUCACGCCUUGAAGAUUUGGCGGCACUAUUUGUACGGGGUCCAUUGUGAGAUUUACACUAAUCAUCGUAGUUUGCAGCAUCUGUUCAAAUAGAAAGAUCUUAACUUGUGUCAGCGGAGGUGGUUGGAGCAUCUUAAGGACUAUGAUAUCACCAUUUUGUACCAAUCCGGAAAGGCCAAUAUGGUGGCCGAUGCCUUGAGUCAUCGGGCGAAGAGUUUUGGGGAACUUAGCAUAUCUUUCAGCAGUAGAGAGGUCAUUAGCUUUGGAUGUUCAGGCCUUAGCUAGCCAGUUUGUUAGAUUGGAUGUUUUUUAGCCGAGUCGAGUAUUGGCUUGUAUGGUCUCUCGGUCUUCUCUUUAUGAUCGUAUUAGGGAGCGUCAAUAUGAUGAUCCCCAUCUGCUUGUCCUUAAGGACACGGUCUAGCACAGUGAUGCUAAGAAUGUCACUAUUGGGGAUGAAGAUGCAUUGAGGAUGCAAGGCAGGCUAUGUGUACCCAAUGUAGAUGGUUUGCGUGAGCUGAUUCUCUACGAGGCUCACAGUUCGCGGUAUUCUAUUCAUCCGGGUGCCGCGAAGAUAUAUCAAGACUUGAGACAAUAUUAUUGGUGGAGGAGAAUGAAGAAGUACAUAGUGGAGUAUAUAACUCGGUGCCUAAAUUUCCAGCCGGUGAAGUAUAAGCACCAUCAACCAGGAGGGUUGCUUCAGAAGUUAGAGAUUCCGGAGUGAAAAUGGGAGAGGAUCACUAUGAAUUUCGUUGUUGGGCUUCCACAGACUCAGCGAAAGUUUGAUGCAGUUUGGGAGAUUGUGGAACAGCUGAACAAGUUAGCUCAUUUCAUUCCUAUGAUGACUACCUAUUCUUCCGAGCAGCUGGCUCCAGUGUAUAUCCGCGAGAUUGUCAAGCUUCAAGGCGUACCAGUAUUUAUCAUUUCUGACCGGGGUACGCAAUUUACAUCAUGGUUCUGGAGGGCCGUACAACAUGAGUUGGGUACUAAAGUGGAGUUGAGCACAACAUUUCACCCUUGGACGGACGGAUAGUCCGAGCACACUAUUAAGAUAUUAGAGGAUAUGCUUUGUGCGUGUGUGAUGGAGUUUGGGGGUUCGUGGGAUUAGUUCUUUCCUCUAGCAGAGUUUGCUUAUAACAACAGUUACCAGUCGAGCAUCCAGAUGGCACCGUAUGAGGCUCUGUAUGGUACGCGGUGUAGGCCUCCAAUGGGUUGGUUCGAGUCGGGCGAGGCUAGAUUAUUGGGUACAGACUUGGUUCAGGAUGCUCUGGAGAAAGUUAGGGUGAUUCAGGAUAGACUACGCACAGCUCAGUCCAGACAGAAGAGUUAUGCACAUCGGAAGAUUCACGAUGUUGCAUUCAUGGUUAGAGAGCGGGUCUUGAUCCUUGUGUAACACAUAAAGGGUGUUAUGAGGUUCGAAAAGAAGGGCAAACUGAGCCCGAGGUUUAUCGGUCCAUUUGAGGUAUUGCGACGUGUUGGGGAGGUUGCUUAUGAGCUUGCCUUGCCUCCUAGUGUAGCAGGAGUUCAUCCAGUAUUCCAUAUUUCUAUGCUCCAGAAGUAUCACGUUGAUCCGUCUCACGUCGAUCCGUCUCACGUAUUGGAUUUCAGCUUAGUCCAGUUGGACAAGGAUUUAUCUUAUGUUGAGGAGCUGACUUAGAUAGGCAGGUUCAAAAGCUGAGGUCGAAGAAUAUUGCUUCUGUGAAGGUUCAGUUAGGGGGUCAGCUGGUCGAGGAGGCGACUUGGGNNNNNNNNNNNNNNNNNNNNNNNNNGGAUAUAACGACCAGGCCGGUCAUUUUGAGUGUAUUAGCCCCGAUCCUCUAUUUACUGUUUUCUCCGUAUCAGUUUCUGCUUAUGUGACUUACCGGGAGCUCUUAUUUUUGGUUUCAGAGUGUUUUUGGACACUUAGUUCCUAAAACGAAAGCUUAAAUCUCAGAUUUUGACCGUAGUCAGAAGUGUGUGAAGAUGACUCCGGAAUGGAGUUCCGUUAGAUCUAUUGGUAGAUUUUGGACUUAGGAGCGUGUCCAGACUGUGAAUUUGAGGUAUGUAGCUAAUUUAGGCUUGAAAUGGCGAAAGUCGAAUUUUUGGAAAGUUUGACUAGGGAGGUUGACUUUUUGAUAUCUGGGUCGAAUUCCGAUUCCGAAAGUUGGAGUAGGUCCGUAAUGUUGAGUAUGACUUGUUUGCAAAAUUUGAGGUCAAUCGGACGUGGUUUGAUAGGUUUUGGCAUCGUUUGUGGAAUUUGAAAGUAUAGAAGUUCCUUAGGCUUGAAUCCGGAUAUAAUUGGUGUUUUGAUAUUGUUUUGAGUGAUUUGAAGGUUUGGCUAAGUUCGCAUGGGGUAAUAUGACUAGUUGGUAUGUUUGGUUGAGGUCCCGGAGGCCUCGGGGGUGUUUUUCGGAUGCCCAUCGGAAGGAAAUUUGGACUUAGGCAUUGCUGGUUCCUUCUCGUGUUCUGGUAUUUCGCACCUGCAAUGGGAGCCUGCAGGUGCGGCCCCGCAGAAGCGAAGAGGAGGAAGCAGAUGCGGGGAAGGCUGGGUUGGACUGGAAGCGCAAGUGCGAGGUUAAGAGCGCAUCUGCGAAAUCGUAUAUGCGGAAGGGUAAGCGCAGAUGCGGAAAAAGGCCUGAGUGGGAAGGAUGGGAGAAACGGGUAGGGCCCGCAGGUGCGAAUAUGUGACCGCAGAUGCGGAAUAUGGGAGCUUAAGUAGGAUCUGCACUUGCGAUGGAAUUUUCGCAGGUACGGCAUCGCAGAUGCGACAGAAGGUCCGCAGGUGCGGUUAUGCUUGGUAGAACCAAUAAAUAGAAGACUUCGAGAUUUUUCACCAUCUUCACAUUUUGGAACUUGAUUUUUAGAGUAUUUUGAAGUGUUUGCAAAGGUAAGUUCUUUGUGCCUAUUUAUCUUCAAGAGUGGUGUUUACCCACUGAUUUUACACCUAGUUGGUGAGUUUUUGAGGUGAGAUUUGGGAGAUUAGGGGUUGGGAAUUUGAGAGUGAAAUUUGAGGUUUUGGAGGGGCAAAUGAUGUCGGAUUUUGAUAAAUUUGGUAUGGUUGGACUCGUGAGUGAAUGGGCUUUCGGGUUUUGUGACUUUUAUCGGGUUUCGAGAUGUGGGCCCGGGAGGGGGGCUGGGAUGAGCCUAUUUCGAAUUUUGACUUAUAAUUUUGUGUUUCUCUUGUGAAAUUGAUUCUUUUAUCAUACAUUAAUUAUAUCGUACUGCUUGUAGCUAGAUUCGGGGUGUUUGGAGAUUGAUUCGAGGGGCAAAGGCAUUGCGGAGUGAGAUUUUGCGCGGUUUGAGGUAAGUAACAGUUUUAAAUCUGGUCAUGAGGGUAUAACCCUGGAUUUUGGUAUGAUGUAACUAUUUUGGAGGCGACGGACAUGCUAGGUGACGGGCGUGCACCGUGGGCAAUUGUGGCUUGGUCCAUCCCGUGAGACUGUAAAGUCGAAUAGACUAUUGUUAAUUACCUGUUCUCUCUGUGUUAUCGAGAUUUGACUGCAAAUCAUGUUAGAAAUUAUGCUUAGGCUAUGUGAUAGUACUGUCGGGACCCGUAGAGGUCGCGUAACUGUGAAUUAUUUGCUAAUUGAUGUCUUGUACUCAGUCAUAGUUUUACUUUCACAUCAUAGCUUAGUCUCUUCUUGAUUCCUGUUGAUAUACUGUGUUAUUUUGUUUGGACUGAUCCUUAUGAUUUCUGAGGGCCGUGAGACUAGAGAGGUACAUGACUGAGUGAGGUCGAGGGCCUGGUUGUAAGGUAUAGAUACCGUAGCACGUGAGUUGUCUAUGCGAAUCAUGAUGUUUAUACUUAGCACGUGAGUUGUCCGUGCGGAUUCUGAUAUGAUACUGUAGCACGUGAGCGGUCCGUGCGGAUCUUGAUAUGAUACGAUAAGACGUGAGUUGUUCGUGCAGCACGUGAGUUGUCCGUGCGGAUUAUAGCGUUUGGGCUGUAGGAGCCCCUCCGGAGUUUGCACAUCCCUAAUGAGCGCAUGUACCUAUUGAGUGUGAGUACUAAGGGCUGAGAGCCGAGUGAUUGGGCUGUUGUGACGAGUUGAGUGUCUAUUGCCCUCAGAGGCUGUACUUGUUUUUCAUUUGUUGAUGCACUUAGUUGCUAUAUGUCAUUGUUUUGAAAUUUUUGAAAGAUUCUAUAUCCGGAUUACAUGUACUGUAACUGUAUAAAUUGAUUUGACUUGAACUGCCGGAUUUGAAAGUAUGUCUAUUCUUUGCUGGAAUUAUUGAAAAUGAACAGUAUUUGUAUAGCUCGUCAUUACCUUCUAAGUUCCUUAUUUAUUUCUGUUACUUGCUGAGUUGGUUGUACUCAUGCUACACCCUGCACUUCAUGUGCAUAUCGAGGUGUGUUUGAUCACGGAGGUCGUUGAGUUCGUGCGCGAUCGAGUACCGGAGACUACGAGGUAGCUGCCGACGUCCGCAAACCUUGUCUCUCCUUCUAUGUUUUUUCUUCUUUCUGUAUUGAUACUUAGACACUGUUUGUAUUAGACUGGAUAUCUAGAUGCUCAUGACUCAGUGACACCUCGAUGUCGGGCUAUUUUUCCGCACUUAUGCUUUGAGUUUUACCCUUUUUUUAUGAAACACUUCGGUUAUUUUAAAUAUAUUAAUUCAUUUAUGUUAAAUGUUGAAAGUGUUUUGGAAAUGUCGGCUUGCCUUGUAUCACGAUAGACGCCAUCACGACGGGUUAGAUUUUCGGUCGUGACAUUAAUAGAUAUUAAGUUUGAUAUCCAUAAUUUGAACUACGUAUUUGAGUUCUACCAUAUGUCUAUUCGAUAUGAAAAACCUAGAAUCACUUGGAUGCUAUUAUUUUAAUAUCUGUUUAGCAUAUUUUGAAUCUUGGCAUUAAAGAGGUAGUGUUUAAUAAAAAUUAUUGUUCUAUAUUCAGUAUCCCUCUUACCAAAUCAGCCUACCUAUUUUUGUUAAAUUACCAAGAAAAAAGGUUUUAAAAAGUCGUUCAAUACGGAAACAUACACUCCAAAUAAUACCGAUACAUUCGCGUAGGUUCUGAUGUUAUUUCUUUUCUUUUACAAUUAUGGUAUAUUCAUAAUUUAAAUAAGGAAAAAUUUAAUACCUAAAACUUAGUUGAUGUUAAAAAGACUAAAUAUUAGAUAAAUAAUUAAAUGACUAUUUUGUCUAGGGUGUAAGUUAUUUUUAAAAGGAUAAAAAGAGCGAACAACAUUUCGUUAAGGGUAUUCGUGCUUUUAAUAUAAUAUAAAUAUAGAUAUUAAAUUUUAAUUUAAACUUUGUUUGCGCAUCUAACAAUAUCCUAUCGAAGUAUCUCAUGAGUCAUCAUCAAACUCACCGGCUUGUUUGAAGAUUCUUUAUGCAAAAUUCAAAUCACCCGGAGGGGCGGACGUAGAAUAGCGAUACCUUGUUCAUAUGAACCCAUAACUUUCGAUGCGGAAUAUAAAUUUAUGUAUAAAGAAUAAUUAAAAUUAUAACAAAAGAUAGGUUUGAACCCAUAAGUUUAAAAAUAUAAUCGGUUCAAUACUAAGAGGUUUAAAGGUUGAACAGAUAAAAUUUAAAUUCUGAAUCUGCAUCCGGGUAUUUCUAGCCACCAAAUCAUACAUGCUAUGUACAUGCCAUCAAUCCAUAACUAAAUCCACUGCCUAAAGUCUAUUUUGAAUAUAAGAAGACUCUUUUCUUUUUCUCUUUUCUAGAAUAAUUAGCAAGCGUCCUAGCUAGAUUAGACAAAGUGUGUGUGUGUGUGUGUUUUAGCUCAGACGCAUGCUUCCAGAAAAUGGAAUGAACAGUUAUUUUGCUUUAUAAAAAUCUUGAGGAAUGUUUCUCAAAAUGUGAAGAGGGGUUUGAAUAGUGUGCCAUUUGCGCAUUUUGUGACUCUUUCUCGUGCUUUUUCUCUAUCAAUUUCAAAGCCUCAUCUAAUGUAAGAUACUGCUUAAAAAGUAAGCAUGAGAUACAUUUACGUUAAAGUUCAUACUUUGGCUGUUUAGUAUUCAUCCACGCUUCCAAAAUUUGACUUCCUUUUUCUUACUUUUUGACAAGAAGUUAUAUUUUCGAAACAAUUUUUAUUUCACUAGAUAAAAAAAGUAUAUAUAAACUUCGAACUUUCUUACAAGUGGCUCAUGUAUAUAUUCUAAUAACAUUUUGUAAAGUUAGAGAUUGGACUCUUAACGAAUAUUCUUAAGCUGGGUAGCGAAACGAAUUUUCUUGAAAACCAAGGUAAUGUAUUCUUAAUUCUACCAAAUAGUCUUUUCAAAUCUUAAUACGAAAAGAUAAUUAAUAAGGUAAUUGAGAAACUAAGUGUUUGAUCAUAGAAAAACAGCAUAGGAUAAUUUCAUAUGUUCGUCUUUUGAACCUUAAGACUUCAAAAAGUUUAUACUAAAUGGAAUGUUCUUAAGCUUCAGGGAUAUAAGAUUUCCAAAACUUUUGACUUUAAUGGGAAGUAUAAUUAAGUAAUCAAGCUUAAAAUUUCCAGGAAAACAUAAAAAAGAACGGAGGAUCCGAAAAGAAGAGCGGACAGAAGCGGAGCUAGAAUUUGAACUUUACGGAUUCUAAACUCUAAAAUAGUAACAUCGUAUGAUAGUAACUCGGUUCUUAAUUUAACAUUCUUGCAUAUCUAAUGAAUUUUUUAAUGCGAAUACAAUGUUUGGAUUAAACUAUUGGAUUGGAUCGAACUCAUACGCGAACCUCUAGCUCCGCCCCUAGAGCCACAAUAUUAGUUACAAGUUCGGAUAUAUUUAAUAAUUUCUGCUUAGUGUAUUUGUGUUAGAAAAUCUCUUAAAUGUAUUUAAAUAUUUAAUUACAAACCCUAUAUCUAUGAAUUAAACGGCAAGUUUUAAAUCCAUAAACGUCAAAAUUGUGUCUUCGCCUCUCGUUCAAAGGGAAUCAGUUAGUAGUAAUAGUAGAAGUAGUAGUCAAAGAAAGAUUCUGAAAACUUCCCAAAGAUUGCAAUCAGAGAAAGUCAGCAAUAUGAAAGCUCUUCAUCGUUUAUGCUUAAAAUAUACAUACAAGUAGCAGCCAGUACUGUAGCUCAACGGCAUUGGUGAGUCACUGGGCGGAUGUAGUGCAUUGUGGAUGGGUUAUAUUGAACGCAUAACUUUCGAUGCAGAGUAAAAAUUUAUAUGUAAAAAUUAAUUAAAAUUACAAAAAUAGUAGAUAUGAACCCAUAAUUUUAAAUAUAUAAUUGGUUCAAUGCUAAAAAUUUCAAAAGUUGAACCUACAUAAUUUAAAUCUUGGAUUCGUCGCUGUGUCCCGUUACCCCUCGCCCCUACCACCCCACCUGAAUACACAGAGUACAGUAGCAGCUGCCUCAGCUCAGGUCAGCUGGACCCUCAAAAUCAGGCUCCUCACUGGCCACUUGUCCUGCCUCAGCCACCAUUGCUAAAAUCAAUACUGUCCAUUGCGGCCGCAUAGCUAAUUUGCGCUACGUGACUACAAAAACAUAUCGUUCAUUUAUUAUUACUCUCUUUAUUUCGCUAGCUUUUAGCCAUAGGUUUCUUAAUUUAUUUUAAAAAAUUUAAGUUGGGUAAAGUUUGGUUUGAAAAUAAAAAUAUAUUUGCAUAUCAAUUUUCAAAAUAUAUUUUACUUUUUUUUUUAAAAAAAAAAUACUCCUAUGAUUUAUACUCACAAGUUCUAAAAACUAUUACGAAUACCUAACAAUACAUUUAUCAAUAACAUUCAUUAUCAUUAUCAUAAACAAGCCUUACUUCAUACCGUUGUGAGACUAGUCUGGUACGGUUUUUGUCUAAGCUAGCUAGUGGCAAUGUCGUGUCUUACUAUUUUGCGUUUCAGUGCUGGACCUAUUUACUAGCUAUCGUUUUUGCUUUGCAUCUUUCUUCUCGAUUUCAUAUUGUUCCUAUUUUUCCUAUGAUUUCUGUGGUGAUACUGAUAUUGUCUCCUUUUGUCUUUUUGUCCCCUUGAGUCGAUGGUCUUUUGAAAACAACUUCUCUACCUCUUCGGGGUAGGGGUAAGGUCUGCAUACAAACUACUCUCCCCAUACCCCACUAGUAGAAUUUCACUGGGUUGUUAUUGUUGUUGUUGUAUCACAAACCAUAGUCCUGGACAUAAAUAAAUUUGGUACAAAAUUAUUAUUUUUAUAAUGAACUACAUAAUAUACACUAUCAGAUGACCGAGAAGAUAAAGCAGCAUUGUUACAAAAUAAUAAAUGGUGGGCUAUUUUAUAAAAUAUAAAUAUUUGGGGUAUUUUUUAAAAAUUUUAAAAAAUAUAAUAGUAAUAUUUUGGGCCAAAACCAGCUCUUAAGCUAGUUUUAAGAUUUGAGAAUUUGACAAAAUAUGAAUAAAAUUUAUGAACAAACAUGUAUUUGCCAAAAAAAAAUUUAGAAAAAUUUUAACAAAAUCUAUGACCAAACAGGUCCUUCAUUUUAUAUUGGAGUAGAGCUAGAUAUAGCUUACCCGAAUCUUGUAGUUUUAGUUCAUAUUAUGUACUACUAUUUAUUCUAAGAAAAUUAUCAAAUAUAUAUAAAUUAUGAAAUUAAAAUUUAAUUAUAUAAAAAGCUUGGAUCUCAAACUCAUAAACUUCAAAUGCUGACUUUGAAUUUUUAUAUGACGAUCCUUUUCUUAGUCUAUUUUAAAAAGGAUAUUACCUUUUUAAUUUCAAAGAUUUUAUUUACCCUUAAUAGUAUAUUUUUAUAAUUAAGAAAUAUCAUGUCAUAUUUAAAAUCAGCACAAAUUCAAAAUAUAUUUUUGCUAUGUUUCAAAAGUCCUUUUAAAAUGUAUAGACUUUUUGGCAAAUAAAAGGUCACGGUCAUAAAGAAGAUUUGCUAGUGUGGAAAGAGGCAAUCCAGAGAAUGGAAUUUUUGCUUCUGGCAGAUUUAAGUAGUGUCACUUAGGAACAAUUUUUGUACCUUUUAGUCUUUUUCAAUGUACCAACAAUAAAAAGUCUUUUUUAAAAAUUAAGUUUUAAACUAAGUCAAACAACAUUAUAUAAAUGAAAUGGAUAUGGUGAGUCUCAAAAUAGUUUAAGAGAAGAUGAAUGUAAGGUCUUUUCUCACUAGAUAUAAAAGUUUUAGAACCCGAGCAACUUGUCACGAUCCAAAAUUCCGUUUUAGGUUUUGUGAUGACACUUAAUUUUUAAAAUUAGGUAAGCCGAUUACUUACAACAGUUAAACAUGAUAUUUUAAAGCAGAGUUUAAUAUAAAUACUGAAAUAAAGGUGACACAAGCUUACGCAGCAAUAAUCCCAACAAUCCUCCCAAGACUAGAUAGUACAGAGUCACGAACUCUCGCUGAAUACAUAGAUAUACCUAGAAUAAAAUACAGUUCGGAUAAUGAAUUACCAGUACAAUUCCAAGGAAAAGGACUCCAAGGUACUGCGGCGAUCGAGCAAUUCUACCUUGAAACCUCAUGAUCGAAGAAGCUAACACUGUCUGGGCCGUUAUCUCCAAUACCCGAUCAUCAUUAUCAAUAAUAACAACAUAUUCAUUGUGAUUCUAUAAGUAAAAUUUGAGAAGAUUGGAAUGUUCACAAAUGUUAUCCCUAUUUUGUAUAAGAUAUAAAUGUUAUUUUUGAUAGAUUUUUUGGCUCAAGAAAAUGCAAAUCCAAUAAAACGCAUAAUGUUUUUGUGUUGUACUGUUCCAAGGUCCACCUUCCUUCAAGUAACUAAUAUAAUAUGUAAGAUGAAUUUUAAUAUCACAACUGCAAAGUUUUCUCAUAUACCGUAGGAAGUAUCUUUAAUUUUUAGGCACGUACUUUUAUAAGGACAGAAGUCACGAAAUGGUAAUGGGAAAUAUACGCACUCCCCAUUUUGCCCAUUUGCCCUUUCCCUCCUUUGUAAAGGCAACCCCUCUGCGCUGUCUCCAUGCUAUGGUCCCGCGCUUUCCUCUCCUUUCUUCCAAGUGAUCUUCGGCUCCUCACAAAAAGCACUAUGGUAUAUAAAGUAUUUCUUAUUUAUGAAGCGUCCGGGAAAAAGUCACAUUCAUUAUAAAUAGCCUUUUCCAACACAAGCAUUAGAAAUUACUUUCACAACUUAAACCUGAUUUAGGUCACAACGCAGAGGCGAACACACAUGAUGAGUUGAGGAGUCACCAACACCCAAAAACUUCGACAAAAACUGUAUGUAUACUUGCAAAUAUCUUUUAAAAAGAGUUAGAUAUUAGUAUAAGCCUCCGUACCAAUCUUCAUAAGUAGUGAUAAAUUUAUAUUGAAUGUCAUGGUCCCCCAGCGACCGCCGAAUCUUAGGUCCACCUCUGUUACAAAAAGAUAACGUUAUUGUCGCUCUUAAGACUAUUUUAAAAAUUGUAUACGAGAUAGAGGUGGCAAAAUGAUAAGUUAUGUGUCCUGCUAUAUUUUGAUGAUCUGACAACCUUAAUUUUAAGAACCAGAUGGGGAACCUGUUCCACAUCCUCUGAGUGCUCAAAGAUCAACAAGUCUCAAGUCUGGGACAUGCUCCAACUUUCAGAGUCCAAGAAACAACAGAGGGAACAGAUCGACAUCAGUUCUCUUGUUGACAGUACUAGUCAACUCCCCACAACUAUAAAGUGACUGCAACUGUUCCUCUGCACACACGCAACAAUGCAAACAGUGGAGCAGCCACUUUAUAGGGAAUGCCUUUGUACCAAACAUGCUUGCAUCAUUCAAGUUAUGUCACUUAUGUAAUAUUAACAUGAAGCAAAGCAAAAACAAUACACUUGCACACUCAGAAUCGAUCAAGCUCUCUCUCAAGUGUAUUGCCAACUUGCAAGUGACAUUCAAGGAGUCAAGAACAAAGAGCAACAUAACGAAGGACCAGUUUCUGCAUUGAGUCAUCAUAUGUCCUUAGUUGUGUAUUACCUUUGUCAAAAUAAUUUACUUGUAAUUCCUACUUAGCUUAGUUAGAAGUAUUGUGUAGGAAACCAUUGUAAAAUCAUAAACCAUACGUUUGUGUCUUGGCUAGAGUUAGUCGAGUUGUAAUCUUUGUUAUAGAGUUAUUACAAAGCGGCUUGUAAUAGAGUUGUUACAAGUUAGUGAAGGAUUAAGAGGUUAAUUCCUAGGUUACAACAGUUUGUAAUUUGAAGUUUGCUCAGUAGUGAAGUUGAAAUCCUGCAAGGGUAGGUCGUGGUUUUUAAUCCCGUGAGCUGAAAGUUUUUCACGUAAAACUCUAAUGUGUCAUUUACUUACUGUUGUUUGCGUGCGUUCUGUGGAAACAGAUAGAGAACCUGGUUCUCCAUAUAGUUUGGUGGACCCUUAAUUUCUAUCACAAAAUGAAUUCAUUCUCUUGUAAUCGAUUCAACCCGUUUAGAUUUAAAAGGGUUGAAUUAUGAUUUGUUUGUUGACUUAACCCCAUGAAUCGAAUUCAAAAUAAUCCAUCAAAUUAUUAGAUCAAAUCGGACAAUAUAGUAUAACCUAACGGAUCAAAAUGUAACCCAACCCAAACAUACAAAGUAAAAUAAGAGCAAAUUCUUGCUUCUGAUUUUUUAAAAAGCCCUUUAUUAUGAGUAGAGAAUCCGAAUUAACUGUAAUGAAGGUCAGAUGGAUUCAAAAUUCUUGACACUGUGAUUUGAUUUGAUAUUUUCUCCACUAAUCUGUUACCUUGACAACAUAUGCCCUCAUUAUAAUAUUUUUCCUAAAACAUCUAGAUUAUAAUAUUUUCACAAAACAAUAAGCUUAGAUUAGGAUAGGUGAAAAACGAAUAUCUAGUACUUUUUUCCCGUCGAAUGAAGAGAAGAAAAAUUUAUAGAUUGCAAUAUUAUUUUAUUAUGAGAACUAUAUUUUUAUAAUUCAUUAUGAAGUUGUUAAUAAAUAAUUCAGAUUAUAUCUGUCAAAAAAUUUAUAUUGUGUAUAUAAAGUAGAAAAAUUCUUUUAUGUAUAUAUGUAAGAUGUUGAAUCUUUUUAGCUAUAAUUCUAGAUAAAAUUUUUGCGUUCGCCACUCCUCGUUUGAAUUUCUUAUUGAAGAAUUGGAGUUCGUAUUGAGAAGUAUCCUUUUGUAAACAGACAAACAGUAGAGUAGAAUAAUGAGCUUUGAACUUAUGAUACUAUGGUUGUAAGUGUGACUCUUGUCCACUUGAUGCCUCUUUUGAGGAAGAAAAAUAAUUUAAUUCAUGAACCAAGAAAGAGCAUAAAAAGUGGUCCACUAAUGUAAUAAUGCAUAUGAACUGCUUGUAAAUCUCCUUUUUAAAUAUUUAGCAACAAAGGAGGAAGGCAGUCAUGUGAAAUAUGUAUGGAGGUACUAUUAUAUAUAUUUAUUAUAUUGGUAUGGAAGAUUCUAUUUCUUUUGUUAAUAUUUUUUCUCUGAAUAGGAUUACACGUGGCAAUACAGGGUGAUUGCAUUUUGAUGGCAAUGUAUGGGUAAAAUAUCAAAGGCCAUAGUUGUGUGUCCCUUCUUGCAAUUAGGCUGCUAAAAAAAGUGUUAUUAUUUAUAUUGCUAAAAAAAGUGUUAUUAUUUUCACUUUUAACUCGCGUCAGAAAUUAUUUAUAUUGAUAAUCGAAAAAGUGUAUAAAAUUUAUAUAAUUUUUAUGUAUAAUAUACAGAAUAUUUAUAUAUAUAAAAAAUAUAUAAAUUUUAUAUAUUUUUUUUGACUAUUAUAUUUACAGCAACUAUACAAUAUUAUUUUUUUUCAGGUAAAAAUGACUGUUUUGGAAAUCCAAAAUCUGGGCAAGUAGGGUCCAAAAUGUCACUUUCACCUACCGACAUGAAAGUGAUGGGGCGGAAUGUAUGAAAUCUUUGGGCUGGGCCCAGACCCAGAAUGAAAGGGUCAUUUCCUUUUCUUUCUUUAAUAUUUUUAUAAUUUUGUUUUAAUAUUUUUUUUAAAAUUGUUUGUAAAAUUGAAGCCUGUGUAAAGAGCCAUGAUAUUUUACAUGAUAAGUACAAAUGGCUAAAUUUAUUAUAUUCAUGCUUCGCAUGCCACACUUGGUCCAUUUCUUGUGGGCCUCUUUGAACAAACAAUUUGUAGCAAUAUUUUCAAAUAUCAUGCUUUAUACGGGGUCUCAAUAAACUACUAAUGGUACAUAUUUUUGGCAAAACCAAAAAGUCAACCGUUGUAGUCAACUUCAUAGUCAAUAUGACGGAACUCAGUAGCCAAUAAUGUCACAAUUCAACUUGUAAUAUGAUUCUCUCGUCAAAUAAAAAUAAUUUAGUAAAAUAUGAACAAGAAAUAGAGAUAGAGAGAAGGAAAAGAUUUUCUUCUUCAAUUUCUGUAUCUUUUCCUAUAUAUUACAAGACCUUUAUAUAGGCAUGAAAAGUAAAGAAUCACUAUUGUAAAUAUGUCGUUGAAUAUGUCAUUAAAUAUUUGAGAGGAAGAUCAUGAGGUUACAAUCAUAACUCAAUAAGUAUUAGAGUAGUGUGAGUUAUGGAGAUAAUUGAGAAGAGUAGACAUCCACCACAAAUUAAUUUUUCUUAUAACACUCCCCCAUGGAUGUCCAUAGAUAAUGUGCAUCGUUAAAACCUUAUUAGAAAAAAAAUCCUAUGGGAAAAAAAAAAGUUCUAGUGAAGAAAAAGGAGUACAUAUAUUUAGAAAUACGCCUUUUGGUUACCUCGUUAAAAACCUUGCAAGAAAAACUCAGUGGGACAAAAUCUUGUAAGGAAAAAAGAGUACAACGCGUAUUAACUCCCCCUGAUGAGAGCAUCAAUUCGUAUCCUUGAGCCUUCGCAUCCCAAUCUUAUAUACUAGUUUCUUGAAGGUUGAUGUCGAUAGAGAUUUGGUGAACAAAUCAGCCAUAUUAUCACUUGAACGAAUCUGUUGCGCAUUGAUAUCACCAUUCUUUUGAAGAUCAUGCGUGAAAAAUAACUUUGGUGAAAUGUGUUUUGUCUUAUCUCAUUUUAUGAAUUCUCUUUUCAAUUGGGCUAUGCAUGUUGUAUUAUCUUCAUACAAAAUUGUGGGUAGUUUGUCGCAUUUCAAACCUCAUUUGUCUUGAAUAAGAUGUAUUAUAGAUCUCAAUCAUACACAUUCUUGACUUACUUCAUGAAUAUCAAUUAUCUCAGUAUGAUUAUAUGAAGUAGCCACGAUUGAUUGCUUAGUCGAUCGCCAAGAUAUGGAAGUGCCUCCACAUGUAAACACAUAGCCUGUUUGAGAUCAUGCUUUGUGUAGGUCAGAUAAAUACCCAGCAUCGGCAUAACCAAUAAGAUCGGAAUUGCAAUUAUUAUCAUAAAAUAAGCCCAUAUCGGUAGUCCCUUUUAGAUACCGCAAUAUGUGUUUGAUUCCAUUCCAAUGUCUACUUGUAGGAGCAGAGUUAUAUCUUGUUAAGAUAUUAACUUAAAAAGUUAUGUCAGGCCUUGUAGUGUUAGCAAGAUACAUUAGUGCACCAAUUACACUAAGAUAUGGUACUUCAGGACCAAGAAGCUUUUCAUUAUUUUUAUGAGGUCGGAAUGGAUCUUUAUUUAUAUCAAGUGAUCUCACAAUCAUCGAGGUACUCAAUGGAUGUGCUUUAUCCAUAUAGAAUCGCUUUACAAUCUUUUCAGUGUAUGUUGAUUGAUGGACAAAAAUUUCAUCUUUCAUAUACUCAAUUUGUAGACCAAUACAAAAUUUUAUCUUUCCAAGAUCUUUCAUUUCAAAUUCCUUCUUAAACAGUCUACUGCUUUAGGAAGCUCCCCAGGAUUUCGAAUGAUAUUUAAAUCAUCAACAUACACGCUGAUUAUAACAAAUUCAGAUUCAUAUCUUUUUAUAAAGACACAAGGACAAAUUGAAACAUUCUUGUACCUUUCUUUCAACAGGUACUCACUCAGGCGAUUAUACCACAUGCGCCCUGAUUGUUUUAAUCCGUAUAAGGAUUUUUGAAGAUUUACUUAAUAAAUUUCUUGAAAACCUUAAUAUGCUUCAGAACAAUUAAAAUCUUUCAAUGAUUUCCAUUAUAUGCAUAUCAAGUUUUUCAUGUAUUGCCAGAUUAAAACCUUAAAUAACUACAUUCAUCAUAGGAGAACAUAUCUCUAUAUAAUCAAUGCCAGGAUAUUUAAAAUCAUCUUGUAACACAAGUCGUGUUUAUGCCUAUCGACUUGACUUUUUUCGAACAAGAACACAUUUAUACCUCCACUGGUUUUAUACUUUUAGGUGUUGGAAUUAUCCGUCCAACUUCACAUUUUUCAGGUGAAGUCAAUUUUCAUUGCGUAUUUUUUAUUUGGCCAAUCAUUUAUCUGUCCAAAUUUCAUAACAGAUUUGAGCUCAAGAUCCUCGUCAAUAUUAAUAAUACUGAGCGCUAUAUUAUAUUAACAAUAUCGUCGACGAUCAUUUUAUAUCGGUUCCAUUAUUACCCAAUAAAGACAUAACUUAUUGAGAUCGCUUUAUCUCAUUAUUUUCAGGUACCCGAGCCUCUCCCAUGAGGUCUUAUGAAGUGUUGUCAUGGUGCUCUUCUAGAACACUUGCCUCCUUAUUAUGACCAUCUAGAACAUUUGCUCCUUUCCUUACUCAAGGAGUUUUAUCUUUAGAACCGAUUAGUCUAUUACACUUCAUGCGUUCCAUAGAUUAUGUCCAUCAUGAACUUUAUUCUAUUUGGAGCAUUAGCAAUUGGAAUAUGAUAUUUAGCUUUGGGUCACCAAAUGCGUCUGGCAAGAAUUUACAAAUGAAGUAUCACUUGAACUUCAAGUUCACAUUUUCUUGUACGAAGAUCUAUAUGUAUUCAUAAUAAUUCAUUCCACGUAUCACUUUUUCAGCUGCCCAUUUUCUCCCCCUAAUGUUAGGAUCACUAAUAUAUAUCCCCACCAUUCUUUGGAGACUCAUAUUUACAUUGUAGUGGAACAAUUAAAUCAUAUAGCACAUUCAUAUUUUUAGAUGGAAAUUAUUUGGUUCCUGACCCUGAACCAAUGUGAUACGGAGAACAUAUCAUAACAUGGCUAGAUGCGUACAAGUGUUGUUGUAUAUUAAAUAAUACAUCACAUACCAAAUNNNNNNNNNNNNNNNNNNNNNNNNNNNNNNNNNNNNNNNNNNNNNNNNNNNNNNNNNNNNNNNNNNNNNNNNNNNNNNNNNNNNNNNNNNNNNNNNNNNNNNNNNNNNNNNNNNNNNNNNNNNNNNNNNNNNNNNNNNNNNNNNNNNNNNNNNNNNNNNNNNNNNNNNNNNNNNNNNNNNNNNNNNNNNNNNNNNNNNNNNNNNNNNNNNNNNNNNNNNNNNNNNNNNNNNNNNNNNNNNNNNNNNNNNNNNNNNNNNNNNNNNNNNNNNNNNNNNNNNNNNNNNNNNNNNNNNNNNNNNNNNNNNNNNNNNNNNNNNNNNNNNNNNNNNNNNNNNNNNNNNNNNNNNNNNNNNNNNNNNNNNNNNNNNNNNNNNNNNNNNNNNNNNNNNNNNNNNNNNNNNNNNNNNNNNNNNNNNNNNNNNNNNNNNNNNNNNNNNNNNNNNNNNNNNNNNNNNNNNNNNNNNNNNNNNNNNNNNNNNNNNNNNNNNNNNNNNNNNNNNNNNNNNNNNNNNNNNNNNNNNNNNNNNNNNNNNNNNNNNNNNNNNNNNNNNNNNNNNNNNNNNNNNNNNNNNNNNNNNNNNNNNNNNNNNNNNNNNNNNNNNNNNNNNNNNNNNNNNNNNNNNNNNNNNNNNNNNNNNNNNNNNNNNNNNNNNNNNNNNNNNNNNNNNNNNNNNNNNNNNNNNNNNNNNNNNNNNNNNNNNNNNNNNNNNNNNNNNNNNNNNNNNNNNNNNNNNNNNNNNNNNNNNNNNNNNNNNNNNNNNNNNNNNNNNNNNNNNNNNNNNNNNNNNNNNNNNNNNNNNNNNNNNNNNNNNNNNNNNNNNNNNNNNNNNNNNNNNNNNNNNNNNNNNNNNNNNNNNNNNNNNNNNNNNNNNNNNNNNNNNNNNNNNNNNNNNNNNNNNNNNNNNNNNNNNNNNNNNNNNNNNNNNNNNNNNNNNNNNNNNNNNNNNNNNNNNNNNNNNNNNNNNNNNNNNNNNNNNNNNNNNNNNNNNNNNNNNNNNNNNNNNNNNNNNNNNNNNNNNNNNNNNNNNNNNNNNNNNNNNNNNNNNNNNNNNNNNNNNNNNNNNNNNNNNNNNNNNNNNNNNNNNNNNNNNNNNNNNNNNNNNNNNNNNNNNNNNNNNNNNAGGAAUUGACUAUAAUCAUGUGAACGUGUCUCGUAUUAACAGAUCACAUUGAUAUAUAUUUCCUUCACAUUUGAAGAAUUAUUUUGAGAACCUUAUUGUUCUCCUUUUUACAAUUAAAAUAAUGAUGACUAUUACUAUUAUUGUCUUUCGAUGUCCACGUUCAUUGGUCAACCACUUGUCUUUAUUUAGACUUAUUAUGCACCGCUUUCAUACUCACUUCAAGAAUGGAGCAAAUCAAGUGGGACAAACUUCAUACUUUUUCAUGAAAAAUACAUUAUUUUUCUUUAGUCAUCAUUAUAUCAUCAAUAUGGUGCAUUAGAACUCAAACUCAUAAUGAGUUGGAACUCGAGCUCAACCCUUAUUACCAUGGUGCACCAGAACUCACACACCCGAUAUUUUAUUCUCAUGGUGCAGUGGGCUUGAAUUUACCGCUUUACUCUCAAUCAAUGGCAUAAUAGGCAAAACAAUAUUGAGAUUCACUCUCAAGCCUUAAUUUUAAUCACAUGCCAGGAAAGUUGUACACAACGAAUUUGCAAUUUAGCAAAUCAAAUUUGCCUUCCUAAAUAAAUAUAUAAACCUCAAAUAUGCGUAAAGCUUUAUCAAUUAUUUAUAGCAUCUAGUGAAUUAUCUAGAGAAAUAGAAGUUAUUAAAUAAUAAACAUAAUUUGGGUAGAAGCAAAAUUUAAAAAAUACUUCUUCACAAUAUCAGUAAUCAUAACAAAAGUAACAUAAAAUUUAUCUCACAAAACUAUUUUACUCUUGAAAACAUAAAAUUUUGUUUUGAAUACUCUUGAAAUAAGCAGUUCGUGCUAAUAACAUGUUAUGAAAUAAAAGCAAUUUAAUAAAACAUGAACAGGAAAUAGAGAUAGAGAGAAGGAAGAGAUUUUCUUCUUCAAUUGUGUAUCUUUUCCUAUAUAUUACAAGGCCUUUAUAUAGGCAUGAAAAGUGAAGAAUCACUAUUGUAAAUAUGUCAUUGAACAUGUCAUUAAACAUUUAAGAGAAAGAUCAUGGAACUACAAUCAUAACUACAUAAGUAUUAGAGUAGUGUGAAUUAUGAAAAUAAUGCAGAAGAGUAGACAUCCACUGUAAAUUAAUUUUUCUUAUAACAUAUUCCAUAUUUUGAUUAUUGUUGCUCAAUUGGACAUUCUCUUCUUCAAGUUACUUGGUUAGUAUCUCCUUAAACAAUAACAAUAACGUGUCAAUCUAAAUUAAGUUGGGUAGAUUUAUGAAUUUCCACUAUUUUUUGGGGCAAGUGCACAAAUAGUUAUUCUCAGGGAUGCUAUUUAGAGAUUAAUCAGUAUUUAUUUUGUCCUAAAAUUUUAAACUAAAAAUCUUGACUUCAGGACAAUUCAAGACAUUUGUCCUGAAAAAUUAAACUGUAAAACUAAAAUUCAGAACACAGUGGAUAAUUUCUAAAAAGUAAUCAUAUAAAGUGGCUACCUAGUGUCAUUUCUACCUAUUUUUUUCCUACAUGUAAAUCGUCUCAGUCCAAUAUUAUUAAAAAAAAAAAAGUUGUCUAGCUUUAGAAGUUCUCUUCAUUUUUGUUGGCAUAUAAAUCUUACGGGACUAAAAAGACUCCUCACAAACAAUUAGCAAAGUAUACGUAUUGAUAUGACUAAAACUUAAUUAAUAUUAACUGGUAUCUUAUAAAUUAGAAAACAAAUUGUAAGUGGGAGAGAGAAUAGGGGAAUGCUACACUCAACUAUUUUGGGCCAAAAAUGCACAAUAUUAGGAUGAAAGCCCACGGAUAACUGCUGGAGUCCGCAUUUUUGGGCCUUAUAACAAACAUCUUAAGCCAGGUUGUGUCAAUUUUCCUUUAGAAGAAUUAACCCAAAUAGCCGCCUACCUAAUUUCUUAUAUUAAAAAUAGCCGUCAGAUAUAUAAUAUAUGUAAGCUUUAUGUAUAAUAUAUGUAUAACUAUGUAUAAUCAAAAUAUAAUAUAUGUAUAACAACUAAAAAAAAAUAAACAAUGAACUACGCAGGCUAUUUGUGUAAAAUUCCCUUCCCUUUAUAGUAGAGGAUUUCUCAAGAAUAGACGUGGGCUAAUUGUGCAAUGAUCCAAUACCUUAUGCACGGGUACUUGGACCAUCAACACUGUGCUCGGUACCUUAUACAAGUACUAGUUUCCAAUAUAGAAAUAUAAUAUUUGGCUAAAAAACAAUGGGUGCUUAAGCACCCAUAAGGUUCAAUGUAGAUUCGAUUCCUACCCGUGCUUAGCACAUGUAUUUAGAUCAAUUUGGACCUUUUUUUCUCAAAGUAGUUGGAUGCAUGAAGUACACACAUAUCACAAUGGAACUUGGUUAAUAGCAAAACAAAUACAAGACGAUUUGCCGACGACAAAAGUAUAAAUAAACACUAGAAUAUUAAAAGAAAAUAAUCAUUCAGUAUAGCUUUGCUGUGAAAAUGUAACAAAGAACUAAAGACAAAAUAAGCACAACAAUAAGCGGGUACACGAAGAUAAAAGGCUAAGAAAAAGGUAAAAAAAUGUGGAAAUAUAAUAUAGAUUCUGUUGAAAAAUCUCAGAACAAAUAGCUUGUCAAAAAGUAGAAUCUAUGAAUAAAAAUGACAAAAUUUACAUGUCCUAGACACACCACAACAACCUUAUAUAUGUCCCAAAAUCAUAGGCACUCGCGAAAUAAAUUAUCUUCACUGAUCAAACUUUUUUAG
This 65335-nucleotide long non-coding RNA is filed under the name Nicotiana tabacum (common tobacco). Its description in RNAcentral is "long non-coding RNA (NTAB_LNC006764)". The record is from RNAcentral. Lineage: Eukaryota; Viridiplantae; Streptophyta; Magnoliopsida; Solanales; Solanaceae.